Molecule: long non-coding RNA, 80058 nt
Filed under: Glycine max (soybean)
Lineage: Eukaryota; Viridiplantae; Streptophyta; Magnoliopsida; Fabales; Fabaceae
Description: long non-coding RNA (GMAX_LNC001716)
Source: RNAcentral
CCGAGGUUUAACUUGGAAGCUAAGCAGUCCAACCAAUAAGCGAAGAAGGUUGUUUAACUAAGCCAAACUAACGUGUUCGCUCGCACACAAACGUUGAUAAAAAAAAGUCACAUAUGUCGUACCAACACGCUUUAGUCCCUUCCUCGCGUGCCACGUGUCCACGUUUUCACUGGGUCCCACACUCACUCCCCCUCCCUUUAAAUAUCUCACCCAUAACACAACCAUUCUUCAUCAAUCUAUACUCCUUAAUUCUUACAAUUUAUUAUCUUUCUCUAAGAACUCUUCCAAUUUUUUCUCUCUCUUCCUCUUUAGCUUCAUCGCCAUGGCAUCACCAGCAAGAACCUUCUUUGCCUUCAUUCUCGCCGUCGUCGCUCUCUUCUUCGCCGCCGCCAAUGCUCAAGACCUCUCCCCGGCUCCGAGUCCCGAUGCCGGAGCGGCGGGAUCCGUUUCGAGCUCCGUCGCCAUGAUCGGAGCUUCGGUUGUGCUGUCAUUGAUGGCUAUCUUGAAGCAUUGAAUUCGUUAAUUUCGUUGGGUUUGUACAAAAUUGAUUCGUUUUAUAUACAGAGUGGUGAUUAUGAGCUUUGGUAUCUAUACUUAUAGGUAUACCGGAGAGAGAUUAUACAGUAUUUAAUAUACUUAUUGUUAUUUGUUUUAGGACUUAGGGAGAAUAAGAAGGAUUUUAUCCUUUACAUUGGACCCGUAUUCUUUUUCAAUUUUUGUUAUGUAAUAAUAUAUUGUGAUUGAUGAUUUAUAUAUAUGUUUUUCCAUUUUUAAUCUAUUUUUUAUUUAUUUUCGUUAUGGUAAUUGUUUAUUGACUUAUUGUUGUUAUACGUUAUUUAUAGUAAUUUUUUAUUUUGUGCACAAGUAAUUUUUUAUUUUUUAUUGACUUAUGUAGAAAGUGGUACUUUACCGAAGUAGAAACGGAUGUUGAAAGAGACUUCAAUUAAAUUUUGAACCAUAUUCGAUAUUUAACUAAAAAAUUACGAGUUUUUGUGAAGAACUAUUAUAUAUUAUUGGAGUUAUUCGUUUUUUAAAAAUUUAUAAUCAUAUAUUUUAUAAUUUUACAUAGUCAUUCAAUAAAAAAUAAUCGUUGAUAUGAUUUUUAAAAUAAUUAUUAUAAAAAUGAGUAAUUUUAUCAUACAUAAUAAAUUGUAAUUAGACGAUGAUGUAAAAUAUUUUAAUUGUAUAAUCAUUUUUCUUAUAAUUAUAUGAAGUUUUGUGAGAAAUUAUUAAAUACUAACUUAUAAGAUUGGAUUUGUGAUUGGGAGAAAAGGAAGGUUUAAGAGUUGAAGGGAGAAGGAUGCCAUAAGAAAGAUGAUGUACUUAAAUUCUUCAUUAAUAUUUUAAUAAAAAUUAAUAACUAAUAUUAGUUAAUUAAAAAAUUUAUUAGAGAUUACUUAUUAGUUUUGAGGUUUAAAUAUAUUUUUUUCUCCUCCAAAUUAUCUACCUACUAAUUUUUAAUUUAAAAUUUCAUCUUUUUAAUUCUAUUUUACCUCAAUUAAUCAACCUUUAUUACUUUUCACUUUUUUUUACUCUAUUUCACUUCUUUUCAUUUCUCACAAUCAAACACUACCCUAAUGAUAAUUCAAACAUGACAAGAGCAUCAAAUGAUUGGUUGGCCUCACGAAACAAGUACGAAGAUUGCACCAUACCAUUUUUUUCAUUAUGUGAAUUGUUCGAGAAUUAGCCCAAAACUUGGUAUGUUAGAGAACAUCCUUUGCUAAGAAGAUUAAUAGCUAGUUGAUAUGACCCUUUUUUUUAAUAUCACCCUAAGUUACAAUUAUAUUAUUUUUAUAGAUUAUCCUUGAGUUGGUUAUAUUAGAAUUAGAAAACACAAAUACAAUAAUAAAAGAAAACAAGAAUUAGUUAGAAGAAGAUGAAAGCUUGCACAAACUUAAGAAUAUUAAUGUACGUGAAUGGUGCAUAAUAAAUAAUAUUAAGCAAGAGAUUUAAAUAACAAAACAAAUAAAAAUAAGGAAUGGAUGGAAAAAGGGAAAAGAUAAGUGAAACAAAAGUGCAAAAUAUGAAUAGAAAGAAGAUGCUCACAUGGUAAAUAUGUACUAUUUCCUUAGUUUAAUAAUAAAAGAAUUAACCUUAAAAUGUUGUAAGAAAAAUUGAAAUUAUUGAGAACAGUAUCGUUCCUCCAAUAAUCACAACCCCCAUACUUUUUUAGAAAUUUUAAUACGAUCUCAUGUAAAAUAUGAAUAGCACCAAAUCUCUCCAAAUCCCACCCGGUGUCUUGAGCUGUUUCCUGGUUGUAAGGUAAGGUAUACGUUAUUUUCUUGGUGGGGUUGUUAACAUAUUAAAAUAUAAAAAUAUAUUUAAUAUUUUCCUGAUAAUAAGCAAGAUAAUUAAUAAUAAAAUGUUAUAAGAAAAUUAAAAUGAUUGAAAACAACUAUCAUGUUUUAAUUUUUUAAGUCACCACAACAUUAUCAAUGUUCAGUAUCUAAUAAUUUUAUUAAUAAUUAUUUGUUGUCGAAAAUCUUGAAUCGAACUAACGACAUGUUAGCCGAUUAAUUCAAUAUAAUGAGUAUUUGUUUUCUCUUAGUUUUUAAUGUGUAAUUUAGAAUUUAAAUUUUAAAUAUAUACCUACACUAAUAUUUAAAGAACUUUCUCUUUAAUUAUAAAUAGUCCUACCUAGCUUAAGAAAAUAUAUUUUUUUCAGAGAUACUUGUCCUCCGUAGAAAGAAAAACUAUUUCAUGAUUGCAUAGGCAUAUAGGUAAACGUUAUUUUCUUGAUGCCGUUGUGACUUGUGAGGGAGCUUUCCAACAGUAACGGCUACUUGGAAUAGUAUAAUUCAAUUAUUAAAGGGGUGUCAAUUAUAAUGGCCACAACUUUUUUCCUUUUGCUGCAAAUGCAAAAAAAAAGGCAAUAAAGAUAAAGAAAACAGAGAAAAAUAAAAAUAGAAGAAUAGCACCGACAGCAUUAGCGAGAAGUCGCAGUCCAAUCUGAAAGCCAGAUCAUGAACUGAUGAACGCGCACCACAAUCUACGCAUGUUAACAUGUCGUCUUGUCUGUGUUUCGACGCUUUUCAAAUAAAAAGAUCUUUCCACAUGCGUUUCUUAUGUGAUUCUUAACUGUCAAUGAAAUUAUUAGACCAGUGUUCACACAUAUAGUAAUAUAAUCAUUUACAUUUUUUUUUUUAAGUAUGGACAUUUGCUGGAUGAAAAAUGUAUAGAAUAAAAUGAAUUGAUUACAAAAAAAUGAUUAUGAGAAGCAUCUAGACUCUACCGAGCAUAAAUUGAUGUUACUUGUAUAAUUUAUUAGUCUAGUCUUAAAAACUUUGAUGUAAAAUUCAUUAAACCUAACAUUUUCUUUUUAUAGGUAAUAAUUAAAAAUAGAUAUUAUCAAAUUUAUAAUAAUUUAUAUAUUUUAUUUAAUCAAUUUUUUUAUCAUUCAAUCUUUUUUAUUUAAAUCACAUAUUUUUUUAUUGAAGAUAAUUAUGUUUGAAUCAAAUAAAAUUAUUAUAAACAAUCCAACUUUCUUUAGAUAUUUAAUACAGGUAUAUGCUUAUCAGUUAAACUUAAAAACUUUUAUUAAGUUAUAAUAACAAUUGAUUUUUUAUGACUCAAUCUUACUUAGUGCGUAAAUAAAAAAAAUUUAAAUAAUCUCCAAGAUUAUAACGUGGAAUGUUUUGUUUUUUGAAAGUCGUGGAAUGGUUUAAUCAUUUUAUUAUUUCCUCUUCAUUUUAAUACAUAAAUAAAUAGUCGGUCAAAAUUAUGAACGUGGGGUAACUUCAUUAUUCAAUUAUUCGCUUCAUUUUUAACACAUUAUUCGUCAUUCAAUAAUUAAAUUCUAUAUCAGGUUAGUUUUUGACAAAAUCAUUAGUGACUCCUAAAAAUAUUAAUAAUAUAAGUUAAUCUCUAAAAUAUAGACUAAAACUUAAGAGCGAAUUAAAGUUAUCCCUUAUUAUUUUAAAAUAUUAAAUAAUUAAAUUUUUCUAUAAAUCAAAAUAUCCAUCAUAUUUUUGUUAUAAACCAAUUUAGAUAUUUGCAACAAAAAAAAAAAAAAACAAUAAGGAGUGUCACUGUUACUCUUAUUAUAAUACAAGUCUACUUCCACCGUUGUUCUCAAUAAUAUUUUUCUGAUUAGUUACUGUAUUAAUCUAAAUUUAUUAGAUGUGUUUUUUUAGUCUUAAAAAUUUAAAGACUAUUUUUUUAGUUCCUGAAUUUUGAUAAUUUUUUUUAAUCUCUGACAUAAUAAAUUAAUAUUUUAUAUCAGUUUUUAAUAUUUUGUGAUUAUUUUUUAGUAUUAUGAUAAUUUUAAAAUGCAAAUUCACGGGAUUGUCAAAUAAAAAAUAAUUUAUGAUAACUAAAAAUUAUCAUAAAAUAUUAUUUUAUUAUGCUAGAGAUUAAAAAAUAAUAAUUUUUUAAAAUUAAAAAAAAAUAGUUUAAAUUUAAGAGAUUAAAAAGACACACACCCUAAAUUAGAGAAUAAAACAAUAAUUAAACAUUAUUUAAAAUUAGUUUUGAUAUCAAAAACUAAUUUUUAUACUCAUUUUAAAAGUUGUUAAAACCUGUCUCUCAAUAAAUUAAAUAGAUUCAUUUUCUAAAUUAAAUUAUAAUGUUGAUUCAUUUUAAAUUUAGAUUUUAAAACUGUUAUAAAAUACUUAAAAAAUCGAUACAAAAUACUAAAAACGGAUGUAAAAUAUCAAAUUUAUUAUAUGAAAGACUAAAAAAUAACUUGUCAUAAUUCAAGAACUAAAAAACAUUUUUAAAUUUGAGAGAAUAAAAAAAUCACCCCCUAAAUUUAAAAACUAAAAAUGUAAUUAAGCCAUACUUUUCCAAUUGCAUUUCUUGUGCCACCCAAAUUUUCAUAGCAAUGUUCACACUUUACACAUAAUAAUUUACAUAGAAAUCGUGCCGAUAAAAAAAAUAUAUCACUAGUGUUAUAAUAUAAAUUAAUUCCUAAAUUAUUAAUUCAAACAAACGAAAAAGAUUAAAAUUCACCCUUAAAUAAUUUUUUCUUCUAAAUAUCAAAUUAUUCCUCUUUUUUUCACAAAAAAAACUUAGAUAUUUUGAUAACUUUUUUAAAAAUGGUAUAUAAAAAAAGGAAAAAAAAAAGAGGCCUCUUAAUCAUAAGUAGUAAGUCUUAAGUUUAAGUCUUAAGUUUUCCUACCGGAAAGUUCCUUGACAUGACAAUGUCCUCCUCCGCUCCUCCUUCUCCUUUAGUAAACAAACAACCCAAACGUUUACGGGAACUAUUCUUCAAUUAGUCGUUUCGUUUCGCAUCAUUGACUAUGUAACAUUAUUCACUUUAUGAAACCGCCAUAGAAAAUUUCAAAAUAGCAUUACGAGUUACUACCACACAGCCACGCGUUCAACGGUAGCCAUGGCAAUGCACAGAUCGGAGUGGCUUUUGCUUAUCCCGCCUCCAUCUCUGACUCUUCAUCUUUCCGUCCCCAAAAUCCAACGGUUGGAUUUUCCUUGCCUCAAAUGGCUCCUGUCAUAUUUAUAAAAUUUUAUAAAAAAAAUAUAAUUCUUUAUAAACUAAAAAAUAUAAUUUUAAAUUACAAUCAUAACAUAUUUUUAAAUUAUAAAUGAUAAAUAAAAUUAAAUUUGAUAACAUAAAAUUCAAUCCAAUAAUAAUAUAAAAUUAAAUUUAAUAAUUUCAUAUUUCAAUGUAUUAUAUAUAUAUAUAAUGAUAUUUUUAUAAAUUAAUUAUUAAAAGAACGACGGAUUCGAAAGUGAAUAUUAAUAAUUCUUAACCUUGAAUUCAACUCUAACUAUCGAAAAAAAUUUAAACCCGAUCCUGAUCAAUAUCAAAUCGAAUUUUUUCAUCAAAAUCAAGAUAAAUUUGGAUGGGUCCCACAGGUUUGGGCCCAUUGCAAUGCCUAUUCAACUGGAAAAGUUAAAAAAACAAAGCGAGAACAAGCAAUGAUCUCGAGUGGUUUAAUUAAUCACUUUACCAAAACGCUCAAAAAAGCACAGAAACGUAGCGAACCAUUCAUUCAGUUCACACCUCAACGUUUCCUCACCUUACAGCUGUCCACGUUUCCGUGGGCCCCGCGCCUCUUCCCAUAGUAUAAGUACCCCUACCCUCCUUCGUUUCUUACACCAAAACGAAACAAAGAAGAAAAAAAAAACUCAAACACCUUCAAGAACUUGUAUCUUUCUUUGUUAGUAUUUGUUACUACAAUUUUACAUUCUUUUCAUCUCUACAUAUUUCAUUAGUCAUGGCACCUCAAGCAGUUUCCUUCAAGUCCUUCGCCGUUGCUCUUAUUGUGGCGCUUUUCUUCUCCGCCUCCGCUCUGGACUUAGUUUCGGGGCAGUCGCCGGUGCCGGCGCCGGCGCCGGCACCAGAUGCCGGAGCAGCUGGAUCCGUGUCGAGCUCGGUCGCCAUGAUUGGAGCUUCCGUUGUGAUUUCAUUGCUCGCCAUCUUCAAGCACUGAAGAAUAAUCUGAUGAUGGAUCGAUUUUGUGUGAAGAUUAUUGAUUCGUUCUGCACACUCAGAUUUAUUGUUGCUGCUUUAUAAUACGUUACGAGUGAUGAUUAUUAUGUACGUAUAAAAGAGAGAGAGAGAGGGAUUUUACACCAUUCUUAUAUUGAACCAUUUAUUGUAGGUGUUAGUGAGAAAUAAGAGGGAUUUUGAAAUCCUCUGUUAUCAUCGUAACAUCGUUAUUUCAGUGUGUAAUAAUAGUAAAUAGUAAUAUACAUAUUCCCCAAUCUUAUGAUUGGUUAGUUCUUAUUGUUGUUUCUUUUAUCGUUUUUAACUGUUUUUUUUUCUUUCUUUUGGAUAUUGUUAAAUGUUAACCGGUGUCUUUAUCAUUAGAAUAUUGAUUACAAAAUUAAAAAAUAAAAUAUUUAAUGUAAAAUUUGUUGUAGAACGUAAAAAAAGUGUGGACUAUACAGAUUUAUACAUCCUAAUAAAAUAAUGUCUGAUUUUGCUUUACUUAUGUAAAAUUUAAUUCAAUUUUAUUUUUCGGUUGAAGAGAACACAAUAUGGAGUUAGUUCAAUUCUUCCUGCCGGUCCUCCUGAUGUCAUUUGCAAAAUCUGUUGCAAAUUCAUACUCUAUUAAUAAUUACCAAGCUCAUAUUAAAGGAAAUAUUUUUUAAAAUAUUUUAAUAAAGGUAAUUAAAUACAUGGUAUAUGUUAGUAAAAUAUUUUAGUAAAAUGCAUGACUGGACGUAAUUAAGAUUAUUUUAAAAUAAGACAAUUAUAUAAUUUUAGAUUAACUAGAAUAAUUACAGUGCCAUUAUUUUGUAUUUGAAUUUAGAAUGAUUUUAGAAGUGGUAGAAUCUCAAUUGUUACAAAAUAUGUAUGUCAUUCAUGGUCCAAUAUUUGAAUUUGAAAUAAUUACGGUGUAACACCUUGAAAUUUUUUUCUUUCUUUAUUUUUUUAUACGUGUAAUUUAAUUAUAUGUAUGUGGGAUUUAAUUUAUUUUUUUAUAAUAUUAAUUGUAUAAUUUAAGUGUUAGUCAUAUUUUUUAGUGUAAAUAAUUUAUUUAGUUUGUUGAUAGAAACUUGAGAACUGUUUGAAUAAAAAUUUCAUUUGUAACGAAAUUGCAUCAGGCAUUGAGUGAGUGUAAUUUAAUUCUUUAUGAAAUUUGCUAUAAAUACACAUAUUCUUAGGGAGAUUAGUCAUGUUCUGAAUUUGUGUGUUGAGAUGUUUUCGUUGAGUUUUUGGUGCCAAAAAUGAGUUCUUUGAAUGUUAUAACAUAUGAUUAGUCUUAAAUUUUACUUAAAUUGAAGUUUUAUAGCAAAAGUUAUAAAUAAAACAAGUAUAAUGACUUUUUGUAUGAUGAAAAUCUGUCACAAAAUUGGACUAAGUGUUAUAGCAAUAUUAACUAUUUUUAUUAAAGUAUUGACCUCAAAAAUGAGUUUAUUAUAUGUGAAAAAUGUAGAAUAACAUAUAAAAUUUGUGAAAAACUUAUUUUCGAAGCACCAAGAACACUAAGAAAAAGUUAGGAGUGGAACUUUAUAAAAUGAGCAACAAUGUGAUUUUUGACAAUAGACAACUUGAUAUUGAAAAUCGUGCAUCUAGAUAAAGUUAUCUUAAAAUUAUUUUUUGGAAACAAUUGAUUUAAUUUUUAUAUAAUUGCUGAGAUAAACUGUAAAUUCUAAUGAUAGAUGCAUGCUCUUGAAAUUGUAAUAAUUUUUUACUAAUACAUUUUCUACUCCAACAAGAAUCUUUGGCAAAGACUUGCCUUUCCCGUUUGGAGCAUCUCCCCUAACACUCUGACCCUUCUCAGGAACAUUAUCUCCAGUGGGCCCAGAUUCUUCCUCAUUCCCCUUAGAGCAUCUUUAGUGCUAGAUCUUGAGCAAGAACCUUGUGCUCAAGAUUUGAUCUUGCAUAGAUCUUGCAGUAAAGGUGUUGUAUAGAUCUUCAGGGUGAAGAAUGAGUUCUUGUAGAAAAACCUUGAAGGUCUUUGCACAAGCUUAAAAAAAACAAAAAAAAAACUACUUAAAAACAAACCAACGGACCAACAUAUCAACCCACGUGAAGAAAAAAAAUGGAAGAAGGAAAAAAAAUACAAGAACAAAAAUGCAAGAACAGAAGAGGAAGAACGAAAAAAAAUACCUUGAGUUCAAUGGAGGUUGCGGGAGGAAGAACAGAGAGGGGGAGGGAGGAAGAAGGAGACUGCGGGAGGGGGAGGGGCCGAAGGAAGAAGAAUGGGGAGAGGGAAGUCGCAAAGGGGGAGGGAGGAAAAAGGAGAAGGGGCGCAAGGGGAGGAAGAAGGGGGAAGGAAAAGGCAGAAGAAGAAAGAAGAAGAGGUUGGAGAGAGGGAGGAGAAAAAAAAUGAGAAUGGGACAUUGGGAAGUGGAGAGAGGAAGUGAGAAGUUGAAAGGGAAGUGGGACGUUGGGGAAAGAAAUUUUUUUUAUAUUGUUUUCAAAUUUUUUUUAUUUACAAGUGGGGUCCAUGUGGGACUUACAAAAAAUUGUCUAAGAUCUCAAAAUGAGAUCUACCACUAAAGAAAAAAAAUAUAACAGAUCUUAAUAAAUCUUCAAUCUUAUGUGACAUUAUGAGAUCUAUCAAAAAAUGGUCUAAGAUCUCAAUUUGGGAUCUACCACUAAAAUUGUUCUUAUCUUUCUUAUUAGCAUUAUCCCUAUGUGCUCUCUGAUUAGGUAAACCAUCAUUAUCAUCCUCUUGAAGAACUUCAAACCUAAAUCCAAAGCCCCCUUUCUAUCCUUUCAAUUUCCCGUCCACCCCAAUCAAUGGCAUUUUCCCCUUCUUAAACCUCUGUUCACAUUGGACAACCAUCCAAGGACCAAAAUCCUCAUUAGGGGCCUUUUUCACUCACUUAGGACCUUUUUGAAAUGACAUAAUAGAGCUCCCAACUCCCACACCAUUAAUCUCAUGGCCUUCCAAGAGGCAUACUUCUUUUUGUGCCUAUAUCUCCCACAAGCAAAACAAACCAAUUAAAGUUCCUCAUACUUUGCACUAUAAACUCUACUAUUCAACUCAAAUUGUAAAGGAAACACCAUGUUCAAAUCAACCUCAAUACAAAUCCUAGCAAAUUUUGCCCUCUUCGUCACAUAAUUCCCUAAUUCCAUAUCCUUCUUUGCUCGCAACAUAUUCGAAUCCAUCUUCCAAGAUCAUCCCCAAUACUCCACACAAUAAAUUUCACAUAGUACUCAAUCUGUAGGUCCUUUACCCUAACUUACAUAGCCACCUUUCUCAUUUGUCUCUCAUAGGGAAAAAAAUCAGGGUCCAUCUCUGAACCAACAAAUACUGGUCCAUGACCAUUCAUGGACCACCUUCAAACAUGAAGCACAAGUCCGAUAAAACAUAGAACCUAAUGAGAAAAUAGUCACUCUCCAGGUCUAUCAUCUCCAUCUCACCCAAAGGUUGCCAAAGCUUGGGUAACCUAACUCUCAGAAAUCUCAUACUCAGUUUUUUCCUUAACAACUUCACAACAAUUGCCUUCUUCCAAGGUCUGCAUGCUUCCUUAAUCUGAUCCUUGGGAACCUUAACCCUAGGUCGCAAAAUAGAUUUCGGCUCCAAAGCCAUGUCAACACUCAGCAACACCUCCUUGUCCUUGCUCACAUAAUCAUCCUAAAAAAUCCACCCAUUAUUCUAAUCCACCUCACUAUCCACAAUAGCACCAUUUAGUCCUAAAAACAUGUCCUUUUAGGAAAUGUCAGGUCGAAUCAUAGCUUCCCCUGUGGCAGUAAGGAAAAGGGGUAUCCCCUUGUUCCAUUUGGCAAAACCCCGUUGGCAGGUGGCUAAGUCUCUAGGACCACAAUCCCUUGGGAUUCAUGUCCCUUAGAUAAGCCAGACACAUUAACACCACCAACUUUACCCUUUUUCUUACUACAAUCAAGGUGGUCCAACUCCUUGGUCAGAUUGUGCAAAACCCUAAACGUCACCAUCUUGCAACUUAGUUUUUAAUUAUGCAUGCAUGUCAUUUCCUUGAAUUAAAUUUUAAAAAGUAAAAGAUUCCAUAGUUUUUUAGUUCAAAACUUUUGGUUUUAAAUGCUAAUGCACAUCAACUAUGAUGGAUAUUAGCAUUUCCCAGCCCCCCUUACUUUGUCAAACCAAAUUAUUCUUUACACACCCCUAACAACAACCACUUUAUUCAAGAUGCAAGUUUUAGAUAAAGUCUACGCUGAAAUCUAGAUUGGUUUUUGCUAUAAACCAAAUAAGAUGGCUUAUGAACUAGUAGUUGUAUAAGCAAUCUCAAAAGGGAUGAUAAAUCAAUAGGACACUGGAUGAGCUGACUUAAAGAAGCCCAAAGAUCAAGAGCAAAAGAAGAUGGGAUGCUGUUUCAGCAUAGGAACCAUAAUGAGAGCAAAUGGAGGCAAAAGAUUGACCACACUUUUGUAGAUUAUCAUCAGUAGGUAGACUAUUAUAAAUCCAAGGCCAAUAGAAAAAAAAUAUUUUGAGGGAGGAAUCCCACUGCCACAAAUUAAGUUUUUUUUCCAAACCAUCUAAAUCUAUGUUUGGGUCAAAAAGUGACAUAUUUUAAUUUUGUAAAAGCAAAAAACAUACUAAAAUAUUUUACAUGAACGAAUUUUAAAUAUUUCUAUAUUUUUAAAGAUAAAAAAUAUAUUUUAACAUAUUCAAAAUAAUUAAACACAUAGUUUAAGUCAUAAACCCCAUCAUACCUAUUUUUUUUCUCUUUCCUCUCUUAAGUGUUAGAUGACAUUAAGUAUCCCUCAAAUAUUUUCCUAAGAAUAGCUGCUUUAUUAAUUACCUUAAAGGGCUAAUUCCCAAAUCAACUGGUGAGCAAACCUUGAGCCAAGCAACAGUAACCAAUUUGGACUUGUCCACAUCCUCCAUCCAAAUAAAAUGAAAAUAGCGAAUGCACGAAUCUAGCUUGUUUAACAUUGUAUUUGGCCAAGCAUAAUAUGAAACAAAUGCAAAUGCAAGCUAUGAAUAACAAACAUAACAACCUAAACUCUUCCCGUAUAGGAAAGAACAAACCUCUCCAAGCCCCUAAAUAUGAUCAAGGAAAAGAAAGGAAAAACUUAAAUAUGUUUUUAACUCUUUUGUCCUUCAAAAUUUAAAAUUACUAGAAUAAACAAUUUUAGUUUUAGUUGAUGUAAAAAGAAUUGAUUUUCAUUCAUUCAAAAUUUGAAAUCCCUAUUUUUCAUAUCUAGACGACUAGACCUUUCAUUAAAUCAGUUAACGGACGUCACUUGUUUUUUUUUUUUUUUUUAAAGAACGGAUGUCACUUGUUAAUAAGACCCAAAAUAAUUAUUUAAAAUUUUGUAGGAAUGAAAUUCAAAAAGAAUUUAUCAACACCGAAUUCUAAAUAUACUCAUUUUACAAUUUACACAGCCCCCCCCAAAAAAAAGAAUGUAAAAUGUAACUAUACUCUUGUCCUUUUAGACUUUUAUUUCUAAUAUGGAGGGUUGUUCAAUUAGUUCUUUUAGAAUAAAUAAAAAUUUGAUUUAAUAUUAAUGCAAUUGAAAUGAGAUGAACAAAAUGUAGCCAAAUAAAACUAAAUAACAAAUAAAUUUCCCCUUAAACAAACAGGCUUCUUAAAUUGAAUGAAAUUUCACCAGGAAUCGUAUAUUCAAUGGGUGAAACUUAGAUUGUACUAGUAUAUUCAUCAAAAGGAAACGGGUCAACAAUACAAGGGCCCUGACAAAGUCCUAUAAAAGAUAACAAAACCGAUACAUAUAUGUUGAAACCUUUCCUAAGGCUCUUGGUGCUGUGCCACCCACUAGCAAGGAAAUCCCAGUAUACAGUAAAAAGGUAUAUCUUGGAUCUCAAUAAUGUGAACAGAAAAGAAACUUCAUCACCCCAAUCAAUGUUUGCAUAUUAACAUUGAAAUCCGCCAGACAAGUAAUACUUCUAAAAGUCUCACCGAUGGCUAAAAGAGUGCAUUGCACCAUGCUUCAAAUAGAGUAUACCACCAUCAAUCCAUACUUGGAUUUAUAUGCUUUAAAAAUUAACUUAUUUAAGUUUUAUAUACCCUCAUAGCAUGUCCAUCUACCAUUUAACGCAUGCACUUUAUUACAACAACGACGGAAUGUACAGUGCAACUUCUUUCUCUGGUAUCCCUGAAAUUUUGAUUAAAAUAAAUAAACUAACCAUUGUUAGCAAACACAGUUUACAAUAAAACACACAAAAAAAGUUUACAAUUACAACUUGGACAAGAAAUCGAUUGUUCCAAAGUAAAAUGUAAGGGUUCGGGGGAAAAAUCCAACACCACAACUUGAUGUUGUAGGAAAGAGAGAACACUAAAAAAUUGCCUGAAAUAGUGCUCUGAUACUUGCACCCUUUCUUAUGUUACUAAUUACUAGUCAACAAUAAAAAAUUGAACCCCACUUAACACUAAUCUUACAUAAAAAUAUAAAAGCUAAGACAAUCCACAAGCAGUAUUCAAAUCAAAUAAAUCAUUUAAACACUGCAGCCUUUGUGGCCUUUGUGUGCUAUGUAAUAAUUAUAAAUUUAACUACAAAUAAGAGUCUCUGUUGCGGAGUCAAGACACAGGAAUUCAUGAUUGGGUUUCUUAUUUUGUUUGUGUCUUAUCUGUUGCUACCUUUCCUUUUACUCUGACAACACCCCAAAACCCUACACAAGUGUUUGUACAAACUACAAAGACUGAUAGGAUUAUUGUAGACAAGACAUUGGCAAAGAUGGCUACUACAACCAAAAGCAGGAUGACUAUGAUGGAAAAGGAUGGACAUAACUUGAAUUGCAGCACCUAAGCUCAGUUUUGGGCUAUGGGCCAAGCCCAAAUCGGUAGAGAGAAUGACUAGGAUGUUGAAAAAGGAAACUAUUUUCUAUACACAAUGGAAGCACUCAAUCCCAACUCACUAAUGAAAGGGAAUGCGGUAAUGAAAAAGGAGAAUAGUGUCUAUCCUAAAAGAAGCACAUGCUUCAAAGGGAACCGAGCCUUUAAGAUCAUAUUACUAUACAUUUGGUUUGGCCACUAUAGAAGACAAGAAGUAGAGGGUCACUUCAGCAAUGAAUGAAUGUUACUUCUGGAGAUUUGGUCGGGAAAUAAUGCAAUGCUCGUGAUCCUUUCUUGAGUUAAAAGUACCAGGCCCAAUUUAUUAAAGAGGGAGGCAAAACUUUUGGGGUUGAAGUCAUGGUGACCUGUAAGGAGAAAACCACUUCACUUGGCUAAGGCUCAAUAGCAUGGGUGAGGUUGGAGAUGGUUCAAUGACAACCAUCACUUAGUCAUCGGGACUCUCAUACCAAGUCAAGAACACAAGAAACAACAAUCCCAAAAAGAAAACUGGUUUUAUAUUCUCUGACAAAAUGGCAACAGAACGAAGUAAGAACGAAAGAAAGGGCCUAUAGUUUUCAGGGAAAUGUAACUCCUUUCUGUGGUGGGCCAUGGGAUCAAGUAUUGCUUAUGGACAAACAAUCUCAAUGAUAAUGCAAAAAUAAUGUGUAUAUAUGCAUACAUGAUAGAAAAUGAUUGAAAGCAAUAAAUAAUACCGGGUAUCAACUUCAGAUAGUAGACAAAUUUAAAGAAAAAUCUCAAAUCAAGACCAACAAAACUUACAUUUCAGAAAAAUUUGGGGUGAUCAAGUGCAUAUGGUUUACUGAAAAAGCACCAAUUGCAGACUUGCAAUAUAAAAAUAACUUUUGACAUUGAAGCUUGUCAUUUUAAGCAAGUAUCCUGCAGAGAUAACACGCAGGAAGCAAUUAAAACUAGGGAUAUCAGAGAAAAACAGAGGCACUAGGCUUAACAACAAUUCUAUUCAAACAAUUAUGCUUAGAUGUAAAAAAAAAAAAAAAAGCAUGCAUCAGGGCUAGAUAUUUGGGAAUAAAAAAUGAGGUAGAAAAACAAGGUUAACUUAUAUGUGAAACUCGUUUGGGAAUCAGUCCCCCAAAAAAUAAAAAAUAAAAACUUAAACUUUAAUGCCUAUAAGGGUGCAUAUUGGAACUAAAACAUAGCAGCAGGGACCAAUGUUUACUAAUAAGGGUGUAUGGGGAUUAAUAUCUAAGCUUCUUCAUACAUGAACUGAUUCCUAAAUGAGUGUAACCUAUUGGGACCAAAGUUGAACCAAAAAACAAAGAAAGACCAAUUAAAGAAAGAUGAAAACAAAUUUUUCUUUGCACUUCUGUAAGAAAUAUUCAUUUGAUGGCAGUAUCUAUGGUUGGAAAGUAAAGAUAAUUAGAACUAAACCCUGCAUAAUCAUUCACCAAUUUUAGACAAUCAUUUGAUUUUCUCUUUCUUUGAUCACUUAAGGCCAAAGUUCAUAAGCUUUUAAUGUCCAUCAUUCCCAUUUUCUCGAAGGCCCCAAAAUUGCUUAAAAUGGCCCUAAAGAAGUGGUGCUUCCUUCUACCUAGUGUGAUUAUCCUUUACUAAAUAGCAACCAAAUACUAGUUCUAGUUGAUUCCUUUCUUCACCUGUUCCAUUCCAUAUCAUAUGUCUAGAUGUAAAAGGAGAAAGUUGGUUAUAAGGCACAUAUGUACUCUCACAUUCAAAAUCAAAAGGCUACAUGGAAGCACACUAAACACAUUCAUUUCUUCAACCCCAACCCAGAAUAAAAUCUAAAAUUGAACAUGUUUAUGCAAAGAUAAUAUGAGCAGACUACUAUUACUAAAUGUGAUGUGGCUUCUAAAUACCCAUAAAACCAAUCACCAUUCAUGGGAGCAUCAACAUUGUUCCGUUAUCACCCCUUUUGUUUAACAUAGUUGCAGAAGGUUUGAGUGGCCUAAUGACCAAAGCAAUUGAGGGGGGAUUUUACAAGGGAUUCUUGGUGGGCACAAAGAAGGUGGAGGUUAGUCUACUUCAGUAUGCAGAUGACACGAUAUUUUUGGGAGAAGCAACUUUAGCGAACGUAAGAACAAUCAAAGCAAUACUUCGAGCAUUCGAGAUGGCAUCGGGGUUAAAGAUAAAUUUCGCCAAGAGUAGUUGUGGGGCCUUUGGGGUGUCUGAGCAGUGGACUUAUGAUGCAUCCAGUUAUCUCAACUGUGGGCUGAUGUCUUUUCCUUUCACAUACCUUGGUAUACCCAUUGGUGCUAAUCCUAGAAGAUGUCAGACUUGGGAACCCUUAAUCACGAAGUGUGAGAGAAAACUAGCGAGAUGGAAACAGACACACUUGUCUUUCGGGGGGAGAGUGAUUCUCAUAAAUUCCGUGCUAACAUCUAUUCCAAUUUACAUUUUAUCUUUUUUCAGGGUCCCGAGGCAGGUGGUUAGCAAGCUAACCAGAUUACAAAGGAAUUUCUUAUGGGGUGGUGCAGCAGAUCAAAAUAAAAUUCCGUGGAUCAAGUGGGAAAAGGUUUGUAUGCCUAAGGAGCUAGGUGGGUUGGGAGUCAAGGAUAUUAUCUCGUUCAACACAUCAUUAUUAGGAAAGUGGAAAUGGGAGAUGUUUCAGAAUCAGGAGGAGACUUGGUCUAGAGUCCUUGAAUCGAAGUACGGAGGAUGGAGGAGUCUUGAUGGAGCUUCGAGGGUCAGCACUGAAUCAUUAUGGUGGAGGGAUCUAAAGAUAGUCAAUCAAAGUCUGAAUCAAGGUCACCAGCUGAACAGGUUGAUAUUGUGGAGGGUAGGAUGUGGGGACAAGUUUAAGUUUUGGGAGGAUAGGUGGAUAGGAGGAGAUAAAAGCUUGGCUAGGAAAUAUCCUAGUUGUACACCAUAUCAGCUCAACAACAUCAGUUCAUUCAUCAAAUAGGUGCUGUGAAAGAAGGUGGGUGGGAGUGGCAUUUUAAGUGGAGGAGACUUUUGUUUGAUAGCGAGAUAGGUAUGGCGGUAGCUUUCCUCCAACAGCUGGAAGGGUUCACAAUCAGGUCGGAAAUAAAUGAUCAUUGGAAGUGGGCGGCAAAGCCUAGUGGUUGUUAUUCGACUAAGAGUGCAUACAAGGCAAUUCAUCAUGUCACAGUGGAAGAUGGACAGGAUGGAAAGUUCAAGGAGCUAUGGAAGCUUAGGGUCCCAUUGAAAGUGGCUAUCUUCGCGUGGAGGCUGAUUCAAGACAAAUUGCCAACUAAAGUUAAUCUGAAAAAGAAGCGGGUUGAGUUACAAGAGUAGGCCACUUGUGUCCUUUCUGCAGAUUAGUGGAAGAGACUGUAGGCCACUUAUUCUUCCACUGCAGUAAAAUUAGUCCCCUAUGGUGGGAGUCACAGUCAUGGGUAAAUAUGAUGGGCAUUUUCCCUUAUAAUCCGGAUCAGCAUUUUAUUCAGCAUAUUUGUGGAGCUUCUGCAGGGUUGCAGGGAAAAAGAUGGCAGUGGUGGUGGUUUGCUCUCACUUACUCGAUUUGGAAGCAUAGGAACAGCAUUAUUUUCUCCAAUGCUGUUUUUAAUGACCAGAAAUUAAUGGAAGAUGCAGUGUUCAUGUUAUGGUCAUGGCUCAGAUGUUUGGAAAAAAAUUUCUCUUUACAUUUCAAUCAAUGGUCCUCAAAUCUCAAAGAUGUCUUUCUUAGGACAGCAACUUAGGAAUAGAAUUUGCUCCAGGUCUUUUUUGAGUAGUUUGGGCUAUUUUAGCUACUGUAUCUUGUUUUGUCCCGAACUACCUGUAAAUUGGCUCUAAAUUUGUAUUAUCUAGUACCUCUGGUACUCAUCUAUAAUAUAAUAUAUUAUUUUUGCUGAGCAAAAAAAAAAUGGGAGCAUCAAACUUGGGUAAAUACCAUAAAAGUUUGGCUCAGCUUAUCAACAAUAGAACAAAUGGUGAUGCUUCCCAAAGAACUAUCAUAACUGAGACUUCAAAGAUAUAAAUUAAUAAAAAAAAAAAAUUAAGCACCAAAUACGAAAGUAAAAUCAUGUAUCCAGAACAUCCAGAAUCACAUUGCCAUGUUUGGAUAAGCUUCUCCAUUGCACUUAUAGAAGAAGAAAAUAAGAAGGAAUAAUGAAAUAAGCUUCCACCAUAAGCUAAGUCAAUGAGAGAAGCUUAUUUCAUUAUUCCUUCUUAUUUUAUUUUUCAUAAGUGUUAAUGGAGAAGCUUCUUCAAACAGGGCCUAAGUAAAUUUGUUGGUUUAAGAACAGGGAGUUCCUUAGAUGAACAUAAGAUUCUUCAAACCAAAGCACCAUAAUGAAGAAAAGGAUACAAAAGAAAUAUUAUUAUUAUACAUUAAUCCAUAUACAAAAGUUGCCCACAAUUUAGGUAAAAGGAAACACAAGUUUGAAACUUACUGGAACAUACAAACAAAAGCAUUCAUCUUAAAUGCAUGUUAGAAAGGAAAUCUGACAACCUGAAAGCAUCAAUUUUUAGGUUAGUGAAAUGAACAAGAAAAAAGAGUGAAGGAAAGGUUAAGGCCAGAGAUAAUGAGAAGGCAAAGGGCAACCUGAUGUCUUUUGCAAUUACAGUAUCACCCUCUGCAGCCCCUAGAUGUCGCAAAACUACCUGCUCCAGACGGCCAUCUUGAAAUGCAUGCUGUGAAUAAAGAUGGAAGAAAGCAAUCUUCAGUCAAUUUUGCUAAUAGAUAAUCCUCACUUUUAAAACAGUUCAAAGGCCAAAACCACUAUCUAGACAUCAUAAUUCAACACAAGGUAGGGGAAUAGAAACUGUAUGCCUGCAAAUACUAAUAAACUUAGGUACCAGAAAGGAAGAAACAAGUUGCAGACAUUGUUUUCAAUGCUGCAAUGCUAAUUUAUAGAAAAUUCAAGUCAUUAGGACAACUGAAAUUGGCUUAUAGCAAACCAAAUUUAGUACACACUUUAGACUCUAGUAUGAAAAAAUAAUUUACUAAUGCAAUGAAUUCUAAGAGUGUAUAAGAAAACAUCUAUAUGCCUCGAGAAAAGAUAAUUAUAAGUGCGUAGCCGAAAAAGAGAAAAAUGGCCCAGGCAGGGAGAGGGAAAGUUACAGUAGAACUAGUUAUUAUAUUCAUAGAAUUACCUUGUAGAAACAACUAGUUCCAAAAGGGCAGUUUCCUUCCCCAAAGUCAAAGUGCUUGCAAUCAAUUGACCUACAAAUGGAUUAAACAGAAUAUCAGAAAAAGAGAUAGUCAUUCACUAUUUCACUCAGCUGAGCCUUUUUUUUUUCCUUGUGAAAUAUAUGCUAUAUGGCUUGGCAUCAGCUGUGCUGGUCAAUAUAGAGAAGGGGGAAAGGAAAUGGAUCAUCCCUCAUCAACUAAGCAGCAUAUAAUGGUGACCCAAAGUUACAACUCUCCGCGCUUUAGUUGUGAUUAAAUCAUGGAUUAAUUGGAUAGGAAAAACAAAAGAAGUUAUAAGAUUUUGUAAGUGAUCAAGAAAUUACUUGAGCUUUGCCUUGUAGUUGUUAAUGAUUUCUUGUUUUUCUUCAGUUGUUGAGUACCAAAUGACACUUGGAAUGACAAAGUACGACAGCUUACGACAAAUAGGACAUGCCCUCAAUGUGCUAUUAACAUCCAUCCCCAAUGUUGGGUUACUACUACGCCAAUUCCUAAUACAGGAUAUGCAGAAUGGAUGAUCACAUUCUGAUAGCAGCCCAAACUUACAUUCAGCUGCUGUAGGCUUUGACAGAACAUGCUCCAGGCAAACACUGCAUUCAAUUUCUUGACUUUGUUUCAAUGCCUCAAGAUGCUUACGCUUAUUUUCGCAAGUCUUCAUAUGUUCUUCUCUUUCCUCAGGUCGGAAAGGAUGCAAGCAAUGUUUUCCACAGGUGGGACAUAGAUCCCCAUGAAUAUGAGGGCAUUUUUCGCCUCGUGGACAGUUUCCAGCUCCAGCAAAUGAACAAAUUGAAAGCUCAGAAGGUGAAGUGAUUAUUGAUUGACCAACAUUGUCUUCCCAUAAAGGUUCAUGAUACCCAAAUUCUUGAUUCCAAACCAGUUCUCGAUUCCAAGCCGGUUCACUAGGAAGAAGGUAAGGACUACUGGAAAGAGAAAACUCUGCCCCUGUAGCAACACCAUUUGAUGCAGCUCUAGUAUUUCCAAAAGCAACAGUAUCUGAAACCAGGGUCUGGGGUUCGAUUACUGAAGAAGAUGGAGCAGAAGAUUGCUCUCGAGAAGCUUUGACAUGAUCAUAUCUGCAGCGACUACCAUAAGCACAGACUCCUUUCUGAUAAAAUGUGCAUACCUGUCAUAAUGAGAAGAACAAGAAAAAAUUAUCAGAGAAACGUAAAUAUCUAUCAAUUAGUAGGGUCUGCAGCAAAGAAGAGUUUGCAUCACAAACAUUAUUUGGAGGAUCUUUCCAGUCAUGAGAAAAUUCACAAUGCUCCCCUUUCAGACAAGCUCCAUGAGCAAAGAACUUGCAAAGAAACCUACAUGAUUUCGGAAGAUAAGAAAUUACAAAAAUUAAAAUAAUCUUCAAGUUGCAUAAGAAAUUAGAGAACAAAUUAACAGAGAAAGAAAAGGUCCACACAACACUUGUCCUAAGUAUCAAAAACCAAGGUCCCCAAUUAAAACCUUUUAUCCAUAUUUCCACAAACCAAAACAAAUGGAUCAAUUCAAAUGAUUUCAUAGUUAUAUCACGUCAAGUGUCAAGUACAAUCCACAAACAAGAUAUCAAUGCCAAAUUUCGCUCUUCUACCUACUACAGAAUUCAACAUUGUUAUAACCUCCAGGAAUGGUUUAUUGCCUGUCAUGACCAUAGAAGUCUCUGGGAAGAAUGAUACGUUAAAAAUCAUAACCUGAUUGAGUUUCCACUAACAAAAGCUAUCUAAAUCAAAUAAAGAUUUUCCAAAUUCGAUAACAAAAGGGGCAAAAAAAAGGUAGUAACUUUCAACCCUUUUUCUUUUGAAUUCUGCUCAAUGAAUGUCACACCCCAGAUGGAAAACAAAAACAAUCUUUUCUCGGUUCAAAGAAAGCCGGAUUAUAAGAACAAUAAAUAACAGAAACAUAUAAAUAAAAAAGUCAAUAAUCAACAGAAAUUGGAGAAACUGCAGAACACAAGACAGAAAACCUACAUCAAGAAAAUGUUAAUAAUCCAAUACAAAACACAAGAUGAUCAACCUCACCUCUUAGACAUGGGCGGUUAUUGAAAAAAAGAAAGAAAUAUCCUUUAAUUAGGAGAGAGCCGCGAGGACCAAAACCCUAAACCUCCAAAGGGAUUAUUGGUUGAAGAAAGAGGUGAACAAAAAAAGUGGGGGCAGCCAAAAAAGUGAAGGAGGUAACACGUGGGGUUUUGCAGCCACUCAAAUUGAGAAAAGAUUGAGAGAGCUUGAGAGAAACGGUGAUAUUUGGGGGCAAUGAGACAAAAAAUAAUGGAAAUAUUACGAAAUAUGGAAAUUGGAUUUGGAUGGUGGUAAAAAAUAUAGGAAAGAAACUGUGUGAGAACACAAUGUUACAUUACAGCUUCGUGUCCAAAAAGUCUUGUCCGGUUCAUGACUUUCUGUAUCACGUGUACGUGGGUUUUGCUUUGUCAUGUCAUCACGUGUCCUCAAUCCGUUGGUUGAAUCUGAAUUCACUUCAUACGUGAGUGGAUAGAGAGAUUAGGGUUAGCCAAAUUCAAUGGAAAUGCCUCAAUUUUUACAUAUAUAUUGAAGUUGGAGAAGAUUUGGGUUUGUUUUUUACAUUUUACAUGAUGCAUUCCUGGAGACAAACGAAAACGAAAAUUUUUAAACAUGUCUGAAAAAAUAGAAACUUAAACAACAACAAAAAGUAGAAACUGAUUGUCAGUUUUUAUUUUUUUGGGUUUAAUGUGUUCUCUCAUUGUAUAACCAUAGAAAAUAAUUUAUUCAACUUUGGUAUAUGGCCAUUAAUUGGAUCGGAUAUCUCAUCCAUCGGUAGAAGUUGUUUGUUCAAUCCAGUCGAAAAUCUGACUGCAAAAGCAACAUGUGUACCAAACUAAACAUGCAUAGAAAGGCAAAGGUCUAUACUGUAAUAUCGAUUUGUUUUUUAAUAUGUCUAUCAUCAUUACACUUACACUUGCACUCUAUUCAAUUAACUAAACUAAAUUUCCUUGUUAAACAACAUACAUUUGUAAUUCUUGCUUUGAACUCAUUGAAAAGAAGAAACAAAUAAAAUAACUAAUUUCUUCUUUGAGAAAAUAUAUUUUUUUAAUUACAAAAUUCAUAUAGUAUGUUUAGAUUUAGCCAAAAGAAAAUAUUAUUUUUAUAGGAAAAACAAAUUUAUCAAUAAAAAAAUAAGCAAUAAAAGCACCACGAUUGCUGUAAAGGUGUACGAAAAGAUCAAUGAGCAAAUAGAUAAACAUCUUGCUCCAAUAGAAAGUAACGCAUGAAAAGCCGAAUAUCUAUUUUCUAUUAGAACCCAUUACAAAGUUUCAAGAACUUGUACCUUACUUUUGUAUCCACCUCAGAAUAAAACACCAAAACCUUCUCAAACUAUAUUUGAUGAAUUGAACAAACGACCCUCACAAACUAUAUCAGAACAAAACAUAACACAGACUUGACUUCAUUAUAAAGACCUCAUUCAAUCCAUCCUUCACUCUACGAGCUUCAACUGAACAAAACAAAUUAACUGUAAACAAAAACACUGAUCCCUAUUAACCUUAUGUAAUGUAUCCUGUAAACAUAAUAAAAUUUGUGUUUGAAAAAGAUAUUGUUGACUGGUUUCACAAUUCAUGACAUGUGAUCUUAAAAAGCUACAGUACCAAUUUCUGUCAUUAAUUCCCCAUGCCCACCAGAUGUUUGAAAUAUUAAACUCCAAAUAUUCUUGCAGCAACCACACCAGACCCAUACUGAAGGAUAUUAGUAUAACCUGUGCACCUUGUUUUGUUUGCCUACUACUCCAAAAGCUAUUCAUUUCGUGCUUUUUAUUACACUGACAAUUCAGUUUAAGAAUAUUUGUUAGUAUAUAAUUUUUGUUCAAAAAUAAAGAACUGUUAAGAUCAAAUGAAUGAGAGCAAUCCUGCAUACCAAUUGUGCAUAUCAGAUAAAAAGAGAUGUCCCUAAUAACAUGACUUAAACCAUUUCCCAGCUUCAUUUUCCAAAAAUAUCUCCAAAUACUUACAAGACCCUCAUCCAUGACUUUGGUAAUGUAUUUUUUUAUAGACAAAAAUGUUAUUAUUACUAAACUCAGCAUGUUUUCAUACCAAAAAAUGGGUACAAUGAAUGUAGAAUCUGACUCAAAUAUAUUAUAAUGAAAACAUGUGAGUGAGAUCAUAUAACAUGCCAAUGCCACCAACUCCUACAGCUUAUAUUCAAAUAAAAAUUCUACCACUACACCAUUCAGUAGCUAUCAAUGUUGUCAAUAGAAGAUUGCGGAAAAUUGCAGAAAGCUGAAAAUCAGCUAUAGAAUAUAGCAGAUAACAUUGCUGUCAAACAGCGGAAGCUGCAUUGCGGUUGAAAUAGAAUAUAUAUAACAAUUAAAUAUGUAUAAACCAGCAUGCUAUAUGCAAAUCAAAAUAAGCUGGACAAAACAUUAACAUAAUAUUAUCUCAAAAGUUAAAUUGUUCAAGACAAAAUAUGUUCAUUCUCCUCUGCCCCUUUCCCAAUAUAAUAAAAAAAACUAAAAACAGCUAAAAGCUAACUUCUUCUGAGUCCCCAAAAUCAAUGCCUUGUAACUCUUCAGAUUCUUCCAAGACUGCAUUAUCUUCAACUUUAAUCAUUUGCUCUUUUCCUCUAAGGGAUGAAGAUCCUCUCACUUGGCCUCUUUUUGUCUUAGGUGUAGCAUCUUCAACACCAAGGGAUUCUGGUUCCUUUUUCUUUUUAGUCUUUUGCCUGGUAUACGUCAUUGGCUGUCUAUUCCUCAAAAACUACGUCCCAAGGAAGGCCAUCAUCAUUUUCGUCAUCACCAUCCAUUUGCCCCACAAGCCACUUGUGAAUAUCAAUAUCAUUGAGUGAAAUUGGAUCAAUUUCAUCUCUAUAAUUGUAUCUUUUAACCAAUGCUUGAUUACAUUCGACAUACACCAAGUUGUGUAGUCUUUUGUGUUCAUGCCUAUUCCUUUUCUUGGAAUGAAUAUGUAACAAAUAUGAGAAAAAAAAAUUAUGAGCAACUAAGAAAAGAAAAUAUUAACUAGUAACUAUUAAUAUAAUUACUAAUUAAUAAAGCUCAAAGAAACUCCAAUUGCAUUCACAUCCCGACGCACUACAUGUCAAAAUCAAAAUCUUAAUUGCCAAGUGUUGCAAAUUUGGAGUUGACAAUCCAUAUGAUAGCCACCAUUGCGCUACAAAAGUUAAAUCCAAAGAAAUGUCAUGCUAAAAUAAUAAAUGUAACACUCUAAAAUUCUAAGGAAUUAAGAAAACUUUUUUUUUUCACCUGGUGAGACAAUGCUCCUUUGUUGAAUAGCAAAUUUUGCUCCAAACAUACCACCACCCAUUUUAUAAAUGGUAGCUCUGUAAGAAUCUUUUGUCUCACCUCUUGAUCAGGCACCAAUUUUUCAAGGCAUACAUACAAUCCAUUUACCACCUCAAAAUCAAAUUCCAUAGAAUGAUUGCUGAAGAAUAAAUCUGGGUUUAGAAAGUGACCAGCUGCAUGCAAGGGGUGAUGAAGUUGGCAAGUCCACCUACUGUCAAUAAUUUCAAACACUUCUUUAUACUUGCUUUCAUUAUAUUCAAAUGACUUCCUUAUAGCUUCUUUUGCCUUCUCCAUUGCCUCAUAAAUAUAACCCAUGGCUGGUUUUUUUCUCACUGUCAACAAGAUGCGGCACCUUCACAAGUGGAGCCAUCACCUUAAGUAUAUAGAGCACAUUAUUCCAAAAAGCUGACAUAAGUACAGUUUUCGUUGCUUCCUUCCCUUUGGCUUCCUUGGACAAUUUAUUAUUUGUCCAAUCAUCUGAUACAAACAUCUUUCUAAGAUUGCCUUUCUCCUUAUGGAGCCUUUCUAAUGUGAGGAAGGAUGUAGCAAACCUAGUAAUGCAUGCCUCACCAAUUCUCUUUUGUUGGUGAAGAACCUCAACAAGCUCAAAGUACUUGAAUGGCUAUAGAUGAAGCCAACAAGGGAUAUUGCUCUUAGAAUUGUCUUCUUUAUCAAUGGCAACUUACCAAUGUCUUCCAACAUCAAAUCUAUGCAAUGGGCUGCACAAGGAAUCCAAUAUAAAUGUGACCUUUUUCGUUCAAGAAAUUUACCUGCCAAAACAUAGUUGCUUCCAUUGCCUGUUAUAACUUGGACAACCUUUUCCUCCCCAAUCUCUUCCACAAUAGAGUCCAACAACUCAAAUGUCUUUUCACCAGAUUUCACAAAAUUGGAUGGAUCAAUUGAUUUAUAGAACAUUGUCCCUGCUGUACAAUUCACCAAGAAGUUAAUGAUAGAUCUCUGUUUUCUGUCUGUCCAUACAUCAGACAUAAUUGAGCAUCCAAAUCUUCCCCAUAGCUCCUUUUGGUCUUUCAACAAAAUUUCUGUGUUCUCUAACUCCUUGGCCAGAAGUGGAACUCUUAUCUCAUGAUAAGAAGGAGGCCUCAAAUUUGGUCCAAAGGCUCCCACAUUUGUAAGCAUUUUGUGAAAGCUUUGCAGCUUGACUAGGUUGAAAGACAAGCCAGCUUGGUACCAAAAUCGAGCUAUGUAUUGAUGAACCCUUGCAGUAGCCUCCUUGUCACAUGACUGCCUUAUGCUUUCUUGCCUUAAUUUCUCUUUUUUCUUUUAUUCAAUUGCAGAUUCUGGAUUUCUGAAAAAAGAUCAAUUGAACCCUUUUAAGUGCUUUUCUUUACAGUAAUGCUUUUCCUUGAUACAAUAUUUGCAAACCCUUCAUCAAGAGCUCUUUCUUCAUCACUAUCACCAUAGUCUUCAAGAAAAUGUUGACGCAUCCUUUGAAAUGUUUCACUCUCUUGCUUCUUUGUAUCCUUCAAAUAUCCCCAUAGUUCUUCUCUAACUUCUUUGGGACAUUUGGCAUAGGCUGCAACAUUGCCAGGCUUUGCCAUCAAGUGUUCUUUUGCUCUAGUAAUUCCACCUUUUGUAACCUUGCCACAGAAAUUGCAUACACAACUAUUUCCUUGUCCUCGAGUACAAUAUUUCCAUCCAGAAUCAGUGCUAGAAGGAUUUGAUGAUCCCUCAUUUGCCAUACUGUGAUUUAAAAAAAAAAAAUAGAAUAAUAAGAAAGGUCGGGUAUAAAACAUAUGACAUGGACGAAGAAGGCGGAGUAUUAAACAAAAGAAAGAAAAAAAAUUGUUACUGUAAAAAAACAAAGGCACUGGACAAAGAAGGCUGGAAAGUUUUGGUAGGGAAGGGUUUACGUGGUGACUAAGAAUCAAAGGAGGGAAGGGUUGAAGGGUUUACAUUGUGAUUAAGAAUCAGAGGAGGAAAGGGUUUACGUGGUGACUAUAGAAUGAUCCUGAAAACUGAAAAGUUGCAUGAAGUAGAAGUGGAAAUGCUAAGAGGUUCUAGAAUGGUCUGGAAAACUGAAAAGUUGCAUGAAGUAGAAGUCAAAAUGCUACUGUUGGGCCUAUUAGAAGAAAACCCAAGUCCAUAAGUAAAAAUAAAAAUAGAGUAAAAACAAAAAAUUUGACUCUGAUGUUUUAAAAACCAAUAGAGUAAAAUUUUAAAAACCCACGUGACUACUGCACGUGAGUUUUAACAAAGCCAAAAACCUUGUCCACAAGCCCUAAACAACUCUGAAGACGCAACCCGAUCUGCAGUCCGCUCCUGACCCAGUUUACUUUCUUUCAGAAUGAUGAAUCAAUGAAAGCCUAAAUGCCGUCAAUGCAAUUUCUCUCUAGAUUCAACCUUGCCAGAAACGGACGAUGAUAUCCACCCUUUAAGAACAUUGUUAAUCUAGCACAAUGGCAAACCCUGUAAAAAAAAUGGUGCAAAAAGUAGUUUAUGGCCUCCAAUGUCAAUUUUUUUUAUUGGACUAAGUUAAAGUUUGCGAAAAUAGAUAUUAUUUCUGGCUUUCUAAUCUCAGCAAUCAUGGCCUUAUUCAGUGGAAACUAACCAAUCUCUUUGUGUCAUAACACAGUCCAUUUUACAUUAAAAUUGGAGUAGUAUAAUAUAUGUGGAUGUUAAAUAUAAUUAUAUAUGAUAAUGCAUGUUAGCUUAUUCAUGCCAACAAUAACAUAGUAUGAAAUGAGAGGAAAUGCAAUAUCUUUAAUUAUUGAACAAAUUUCUUAAAUGAUGUGCGGCAUAUGAUGUUUAGCUAGGGAUCACUAUUGGCACUGGCUUGAAAAACUGAGCUCAAGAUCAACUUUGUACUAUCCUAAUAUCCAUGAAAUCAGUCUUCAAAGGUAAAAACAUUGGGUGGUUGCUCUCUGUCGUGGAAGUCAAACUAAUUAAUCUCUGUAUAAGAAAUUACUCAUGUCACUCUCAGCAAUGUUAAAGAAAGGUACGACUCAAUAAUUGCAUGAUGAGUGCUAUGUUUCACCCCUUUAAAUAUGUUGCAGAGAACUUGUAGUAGAAUAAAAGGAGUUAAAAUCAAAAUAUCAUGUCAGCACCAUAAAGGUCUUACUACACAAUCUCAUACACUACCAAGAUAGAGUGAUGGAUCUCAGUAGAGAAAAGGAGAAACAAUAAUACAAUAUUAAUAUUAAUCAAUAACAAAUGUACCUAUAAGCUAACAUAUGACAGAUAUGAAACGGGACUAUACUGUCAAACAUCAUGAUAAACUUAUAAAUAAAAAAGAGAUUUACCACUGAUCUGGCAAGUCAGACCAAAAUUGUAUCACUAGGAAUCAUGAGUGCUACGAUCAGCAAAUGCCAUGGUUAGAAAGGCUGGGAGCAGCAUGCUUUAGCCUAAGUGACUCAUCUGAAAUAAAUUAAAUAUACAAAUUGUAAGGACUAAAAAAACUUAAGAGGCAUAACUGAACAUUGCAUAUUUGGGAUGCCGUACAAAGAAUAAGAGAUGACUGUCGAUAAGGUUUAAGAGGUUCAAAGACAAGCCUACUGUUGAGCCACAUAAAUUUAAAGUACAAGAAAAAGCUAAAUGUGUUUAUUCAGAACUCCUUUUGAAUUGAAUUGAUACACUUUCUGCUUUUUUGCCUGGUAAUUAAUUGAUCAUAAAUUUCAAGAACAAAAAAAUAGAGAAAAUAUCAUUGCAUAUUUGGGAUUCUUCUAAGAGGUGUCAUAAACUAAUUUUAUUCCAUAAACUUAAUACAAUGCAAUAUUAUCCUCUAUGCUGAAAUUGAAGUUUCUAGUGAUGUACCAACAUUUACGAAAACUUAAUAAAUGAUUUAAUUGAGCCUGAAAUUGAAAUUAAUUCAAUGCAUAGGAUCAUAUAUCUUAUGAAUAUAUAUAAAAUCUUUGUAUAUACAGAUAGGAAAUAAAAAAGUAACUCAACUAAUGGAGGAGGAAGAUUUUGCAUUUGUUGUAAUAGCUCCAGAUACUUAUUAAGUGGUAGAUAGGAAAUAAAAAAGUAGCUCAUACUUAUUAAGUAGUCUUACAGUCCUAAUAUACACAAAGUGAUUAUGUCAGUGAAAUUUUAUAAUGAUGCACAGAGCUGAAGCCAUAUCUCACAAGGAAGAUAUUUGAACUCACAUAACUCUUAAAAGGAAGCUAAGACAACAUACCUUCUAGACUGGGAAGAUAUUCAAAAAACUGCAACAUCUAGCAGUUAUAUUAAUGAAAAAAUGGAUGUCCAGCAAAAAUAAGAAAAAGAAAGAAGUGAAGUUCAAUAAUGAUUUUUUCUUCUUGUGAUAAUGUAACUCUCUUGAAAUCAGGCCUUGAGCAAUUGAUCCACUUAAGGCUCCAUCUCUUAUCACACCUGUGCAAACCUGACAAUAAUUAGACUCAGCCAACUGAGCUGAGCACCAACAACAUUGAGAAAAAGUGAUAGUAAGUAACAAUGGGUGUUUAAUUAGUUCAUAGAGCUUCUAACUUCUGAAACAAAAAAAAGGAAAAAAAACUUCAAUAAUAUAUACAUAACACAAGAUGAAGAACCCAAAGGAGGAGAUUGUAGAAAGCAUAACAUAAAAUGAAAGGAACCGAUUGCACUUACCCAUGACUACUUACUGCUGCUGGAAACCUUUCUGAUUCCUAAAAUAAAAAAACAUCAAGAAACUUUGACAUUAGAAUCACAAAAGUGAAAAUGAAAAGAAGAAAAAGAUGGACGAGAAUCACCACAUACGCACAGCUUCUUGUUGGACAAAACCCUUUUGAUUUCUCAAAUGAAAAACAUCAAGAAAUCCAUUAAACAAAAAUGAGGGAAAUUAAAAACAAAUAUGAAAUACCUGUAACAAUAAGAAAGGUGAAAGUGAAAAAAAGGAUGAGAAAACUUACCAAUGGUACCGAUGCAGUGGUGAAGGAACUCACUGUUCAGCGGCAGCGGCAGUGAAGGACGUCACUACUCAGUGGAGACGAUGGUGAAGGAAGUCGCUGUUGAGCGGCGACGACAGUGUUUGGUCCGCCAAGUUACUCAUUGGUGAAGGCGAUUUUGGGGAAGGAGAACAGAUCGGGGUCGCGAUACAGCCACAAGAGAAGGAUGGCUGCUGGUUUUCAAUUUUUUUUACGAAAAUUGUGUCCAUGCUCAAUAAAAAAUGCAGAAGAAAAUGGUGGAAGAGGGUCAAGGAGUGGAAAGGGAAAGGUGAAGAAGAAUGUUGGGAAGAAGAUGCAAGAAAGGAAAUACAAUGAUGCGACUUUAGAGAAAGAAGCAUCUCUUUCUAUUUUUUUGCAGUCUAGAAGCUUCUGCUUCUUCCGUUUUUAAAAGAAAAAGAAAUAUAUGUCGUGGCCGAAGGCAAUAGGAUGCUUUGUUGCAGGAGAAGUCGACACAUGUCCCAGGCCAACUUUGUUUUAAUAACAGGAAAUAGAUUCAAGAUCAUCCUUGGAGUUUUCCUAUCAAUUUUUGCUAACUCGGGCUAUCAAGAUGCAUGAUUUUUUUCGCAUGAGAAAAUAAAAAAAGAUGCAUCCUUAAUCCAUUAUUUUAUCUGUGAAGAAAAGCGUAUUGGUACUAUUGCAGAUAUUUUGGAACUUAGUAAAUACAUUCGGGUAUGAUUUUUAUUUUUAUUGGAUUCCAAGUAAAGGAAAAAGAAAAGAUCCCACAUGUGUGGCAUGGGGAAGAGACUGGACCAUCCUGUGUUUUAGAUGAAAGACCCCCCUGCUUUUUCGUAAUCAAUUUUAAGAGUUAGCUUUAAAUAAAUGGUAUUUUACAUAUUAAAAAAAGCAAAAGAAAAGUGGAAAUCAUACUAAACUCAUAAAACUAAGCAAUCUUUUUCAAUAUUAUUUAACUAUGGCUCAUCCGAACAACCAAAAAACAAAUUCAAAAAAAAAAAAGACUAGUGCAUAUGCUGACAACACCAAGAAUAACAAGCCAUAUAUUUAUACAUAGCACAAUCACAAUUCAAAACCUGCAAUGAGACAAGACCAAGCCAAAACUCUUCUUUAAUAGCAUGAUAUUAGAAAAUAUACAAAAUGGAAUCAGAUCACGAACACCGGGUAUAAGCAUGGCAUGAGUAUAAGCAAAAUAAACUAGAAUAAAUCUUGAAGUUCCUGCCCCAAUAAUUGUCAAAGCAAAAUGAUAGGAUACCAUACUGCCAAAGAAACUACCUCAAUAACUGGUUUAUAGACGGGAUUUAUAUGAACUAAGAAAAUCUAGUAGUCUUCAUCACUGUAUUCUUCUUCCUCAUCAUCAUCUUCAUCUUCCAUAUUAGAAUGCAUCAUCAUUGGUAACAAGGCAGCCUCCAUAGGAUUGAAAUCUUCAUUACCAAUAUCUUCGGGACCAAAAUCAUCCACACCAGAAGCAAGCGCUUCCGACAAUGCAGCCAUCUGAAAAAUAUCCAAGUCCUCCUCAUCAGAAUCAAAAAGACCUAAACAAGGACCUGAGUCACCAGCAAGCCUAUGAGAUAUAUCCAUCAUCUCAAAUGGAUCCAUAUCAUCAAAAAAGUCUGAACCCCUCAUGAUGGAAAAAUAUUCUGCACUUGUUAAGUCAACAUCUUGGAGCAUGUCCAACAUGUCAUACAUAUCAAAAUGGUUCUGUCUACACUGAGGUGGUGGCCUGUGAUGUAUCCAUGUGUAAGAGCCAGGCUUCACUGUAUGCUGAAAUCAACAGAUAUCAGAAUUAUUUAAGGUCAAAGGAGAAACAAAUUGAGGCUAACUCAGAUUAAAAAGAAGUCUUUCAAAAAAUAAUCACAACUCCCUCUAUUAUAUCAUUUAGUCCAUGUCUCCCAUCAAGUUUGAAACAAGAUAACCACUGAACCACCACCACUAAAAUUUUAGAAACAAGGGAACUUCCUGAAUCAAAUGAAACAAACCACAGCCAGAUCCAGUAUGGCUCCAAAUCAUAGUUCAUUAUCUCUUCAAUUAUAUUUUUAUUAAUUAUAAAUAUAAUAAAAGAUAAUACAUAAUACAAAUUGUAGUACACUAACACAACAAAGUAGUUCAUAUGCUAGUACCUAAUACAGUAAUACCUAAUAUCAAAACCCAAAAAUUCUAAAAACCAAACACUGGAACUUCUGGAACUGACCAAAACCAAAAAAACCCAGUUGUAGUAAUUUUACUCAUUCUCAGUUGGUGGUUCAGAGAACUCGCAUUUAGUAUCGGGAUCAACACUGAGUAGUUUCUUGUACCUUUUAGUACCCCUGGUACUCAAUUAAUAUACAUAUUAUAUUUGCUGAUAAAAAAAAAGGUCUGGAAUUGAUAUUUCCCAAAAAACUGUGCUCUUGAUAUUCUUGAAGAAAUUGGAAUGGUGAAUUGUAAACUAGUAGAAAACCCCAUAUAACAAGAUGUUAAGCUUCUUCUUGACCAAGGAGAAUUAUUUUCUGACCCAAGUAGAUAUUGGAGAUUGGAAGAAAGCUUGACUUAUCCAAUUGUAACAAGACCAGACAUCUCUUUUGUUGUCUGUGUGGUGAGUGAAUUCCUUAAUUCUCCCAGAGUUGACCAUUAGAAUGCAGUUGUCAGAUAUUUGAUAUUUCUUGAAGGAUCAUGAGUAAAAGGAUGGAUUGUUGUUUGAGAACAGAAGGCAUAAGGAGAUUAUUGUCUAUACUUAUGCAGGCAAGGUUGAGUCUCCUAAUAGGAGAUCCACCUUUGGAUAUUGUGUUCUAUUUUGAGGGAAUCUCAUUUCAUGGAAAGAAAAAAAAAAACAUGAAACAAAAUGUGGUUGCAAGGUCCAAAGCUGAAGCAGAAAAUCAAGCUAUGACUCUCACAACUUGUGAACUAAUGUCUAAAACAAAUAGACUAAUCACUGAAGAGCUAAAAUUGUGAGGUUGGAACUGAGACUAAUUUGGUUUAAUCACGCAGCUCCUCAUAUUACAUCUAACCCAGUUUUUCAUGAGCGUACCAAACAUAUAGAGAUCGAUUGCCUUUUUAUUUCUAAGAAGACAGUCUCUAGAGAAAUCAGCACAUCUUUUGCUAACUUCAAAUGAUUAAUUGGUUUAUCUGCUCACUAAAGUUCUUCAAGGACCAAUGAUUUCUUAUAUCUGUGACAAGAUAGAUGCUUUUGAUCUCAACGCUCAAGCUUGAGUAGGAGUGUUGGAAAUAGAAUAUAAAUAAUGCUUCCCUUUUCAUGUAUCAUUAGAAUUUAUUGUAUCUUAGGAGUUAAAGCUAUAGUUUUAAUUUCUCUUCUAGUAAAUUGUACUCAUCAUGUAUAUAAACAGAUGCUUUGCUGGGUUACUAACACUUGAGCAUUAGCAUUCAGAAAUUCCUAUCUCAUUUUUCUCAAGCUCUCAAAUAAGAUAAAUAUGAAAACAAUAUUUGUGCUAGAUAAGACAAAACAAUGUUGUAGAUUUUUUAACCAAGAUGGAUAGUGAGCCCACAAAUAUGAUUAUAUAAAAUCAAAUUCAACAACUGAUUCAAGGCUUUAGGGAAGACAUAAGAGCCAUGCAACCUAAUAAAUAUACUUUAAGUGAAAGGAGAAGCAUGGCGGAGUGCAAUUCAUUGCUCCAAAAAAUGAUGCUACUCAAAUUAGUUAACAACAAUGGUAAUCAAAUUUGACCAAGAAAAAUAUUAAAGCAGGCAAGAGACAAGAGAUGGUAACUUGGAUACCUUGUAGAAGCAACUAGCCCCGAAUGGACAAUUCCCAUUUCCAAAGUUAAAAUGCUUGCAAUCAAUUAAUCUAAAAAGAAAAGCAAAAAUAGGUAAGUUCAAGUUUCAAAUAUUAACACAAAUUGGCCCUGUUCUCAUUAAUAAUCAGAUUGUUGUCACCCAAAUAACUAUACUCUGCAUAAACUGCGCUCAUCAAUAGGAACAUGCGAAGAGUGAACACGUCAACAUCACAAGAUAUCAGGAUACUGUGCGUGCACACAUUUCUGUGUAGCUUGGGAGAGUUUGAUUGUUGUGUGGUGUUAAGGGGAUUGGGAGUAGGAGUGGGCAUAUAGAGAUGAGGAAAGGAGGGAAUUUUUUCCCAACUAACCACCCUCCAAAGCAUCUUUGAUUAAUUAACCAUAGCUCAAAAGGUUACCAGUAACCAAAAAACAAAUCAAUUUCUGGAAAUUGAAGGGGAAGUUGAGUAGAGAAAAUUUACUUGCAGUUUGCCUUGUAGUUGUUGAUAAUUUCCUGUUUUUCUUCCUUAGUAGAAUACCAAAUACCACUUGGAAUGACAAAAUAUGAUAGUUUGCGACAAACAGGACAGGUUCUGACUGUAUUAGCAGUGCCAGCAUUACCGAUGUCCAUUCCAGAUGUUGGGGCAGCACUAUUACGCCAAUUGCGGAUACAGGAUAAACAGAAAGCAUGGUCACAUUCAGGAAGCAGCCCAAACUUACAAUCAGCUGGUUUAGGUUUGGACAGAACACGUUCCAAACAAACAUUGCACUCUACUUCUUGACUAUCUUCCAAAGCCUUAAGGUAUUUUCCCUUUUUCUCACAAGUCCUCAAAUGAUUUUCUUUUUCCUUCCAAUCAGAAGGAUGUAAGCAAAAUUUUCUACAGUAUAAGCACUGAUUUCCAUGAAUGCGAGAACAUUUAUCUUCAAGGGGGCAGUUGGCAGCAGCAAAUGCACAAAACAAAUGUUCAGAUGGUAUAGCACUACUAGUACUGGAUUGACCAACAUCAUUUCCAAGAGAGGCUGGAUUCUUUUUUUGCGAGCUCCUUGCACGCUUGUCCGAUGAAGAUGACUUCACAGCCUUCAGAACCCAACUUGAUGUUCCUUUAGUGAUAUGAUUCACCACAGGAUCCAAAACAGGAGAAUGGCGUCCAUUUGCUGAAGAUGACGGUUGGGAAGCUUUGACAUGCUUAUAUCUGCAUCUACUACCAUAUGCACAGAAUCCUUUCUGAUAAUAGCUGCAAAUCUGUUCUCCACAUAAGAAACAAAAGUAGGAAAGUAAACAAAAAAGAUCCAUUGGGGGUAAACACAGUACGCAAAAACCAGAAUUAGAGUUACAACUUACAUCAUCCUUUUUCUCAUGAGCAAAAUCACAUUGAUCCCCCUUCAAACAUGCUCCACGGGCAUAGAACUUGCAAAACCUAAGACAAUUCAUUAAUUUCAAAUAAGUUACAAAAUAAUAAAUUAAUCAAGAUAAAGUCUACAAAAAUUCAAUAAAUAAGUAAACCCCUAAAUAAAUUAUUAAUUAAUAAAUCAAGAGUGUACAAAAAUUCAAUAGAAAAAUUAAAAACAUACACAGGGAGUGCAUACAUCAAACUAAUCAAAAUCCCCAUGCUCACUAAUAUUCAAGAAUUCCAAUUUCUAACACAAUUUUCAAGUCACGUCAAAUGAACCAUUACCAUAACAAAAAAAACAACUAAACUUCAAAUUCAAAAUUCACCUUGUAUAACGAUCCCAAACCCAACUUUACAGAAAAUUGAUCACAUUUUGUGUUUUAACAAAACAAACAUUUCCAAUCAGUAAAACGAGAAAAGAAAAAGAAAAAAAAAAAGUGGCACAAGAAUAUGGCCUGUAUGAUCCAUCACACAGGCGCCCCAACACACAAAAGAGUAACAAAAUGUUCAUCAUCUCACCACACCAAAGAACAACGGCAAACAACAAAAAAGAACCCUUCUUUUUUCUUUAUUUUAUCUUUAUCUGUUUCCUCACCAAAACAUACGAAGCAGCCAAAAAAACGCAAAAUCGAAAAGAGGGUCAUAGGAUAAAUAAAAGAGAUCGAAGCGAGAAUUGGUGGAAAGGGAAAAAAAAUGAGUACCUGUUGGACAUGGUGGGGUGAUGGAGUAAGAAUUGAGGAAUUCUUAGGAGUGAGAAGAGAAGAGAAAGGGACAAAGAUAUGAAGGUGGAAACCUAGGUCAGGUGCGACCCAUUUGUUUGAAAUUGAAACCGGGUACGAGGGUUUUUUGGCGGUGUGUCGGGGUCCGUUAAAUUACAAUUGCGAACGUAAAGCCAGCUCAUCCACCACACUCUCUCUCCACUUACGCAAAAAACGUGUUUUGGAGAUGUUAGCGUAUCAUAUAAAUAAAUAAAUAAAUCAGUAUUUUUACUAAUUAAUUUUUCAUUGUAAUAAUUUUACGCGGUUAAUUAUUUGAUUAAAAGUUGGUUCAGAUAUGACUCUUCAGGAUCCGGGUUUUCUAAAAUGAGAAAUUUAUUUUGAAGAAUGAAGUAAAUAAUCUUAAUCAUUAAGUUUUUUUACUGAUUGAAAAUAUGGAUCAUAUACGAUUGUUAAUAUAAUUAUCAAUAUUCCAAUAAUAGUUGAAGAACAUCAAUAUAUUAAUAUGAAUAACAAAUUCUAAAUGUAUUGGAAUAUUAAUAAUUAUUUUUUCCAUCUAGAAUUGAUAUUAUAUACUUACUUUGACUUUGUUUACUUUGUAAGUCAAAUUCGAUUUUUUAUAGUGGCUAUAAUAGAAAUACAAAAAACUUGUACAUUAUGACAAUAGGAUUGGAAUUAAGUUGAGUCAAAUUGUAUUUAAUUAAACUUCUCUUGAUAAGAAUUUGUUUAUUUUGUAAUUUGAUUUAAAUUUAAUAUGAACCUUUUUGCUUAGUUCUAAUUCAAUUAGAUUCAAAUUUGUGAAUAGUUGGGUUGAACUUAUUAACUCAAUUUGAUUUAAAUUUUUUUUAUUAUGUUAGAGAUUUUAUUUAUAUAUUUUUUCCAUACGAAAAAUAAUAUGAAAUUAAUUAAAUAAUUAAUCAUAUGAAUUUAAUAUAUAUAUAUAUAUAUAUAUAUAUAUAUAUAUAUAUAUAUAUAUAUAUAUAUAUAUAUAUAUAUAUAUAUAUAUAUAUAUAUCAAGUUGGUUCAUGAAUUUUCAAAAUUCAACUUGAUUUUCAAAUAUUUUAAAACUAAAAAAGGAAAACCACCUGAACGGAGCCUAAAUCUAAAACAGUUUUGGUAAUUAAUUUCUCAAAAAUUGAAUACGUAAUGUUUUAAGUACGUAGUUCCAACAAAAUUGAAACCUAUACAUAUAGGCCUACUACUUAUAAUAAUGUUUGAUAAAAAUUGAUUAGAGAAGGCUUUCGAAUUUUGAAAUUACAGUGACUGUCUUGUGUUCGAAUUUAAUCUGGCAAGGUGUGUUAUAUUUUAGAAUUUCGUAGAUUUUUGCUUGAAGAGAUAUUUGUGGAUUUCAAAAAUAGACAUCCUAAUAUUUGCAAUAAGCUAUCAUAUGUGGAAAAAUAAUCAUUUGAUAUUUUACUUGAAAAAACUUACUGCAAAGUUAAAGGGAUUGAAACGGGUUUUGUUUAAGUUAUAGAAGCUUUAUGAUAUAUAUAUAUAUAUAUAUAUAUAUAUAUAUAUAUAUAUAUAUAUAUAUAUAUGCUACUGUUUGAAUUAAAUAGAGUGUUGAUACUAAGUUAUUAGAAUUUUAUUUUAUGUGACUAGUAUUUUUUUCACAAGAUAAGAUAUUAUGCAUGUGAAAAAUGAGAUAAGUUAUUAUUUUAUGUGAGAAAGUCAUCACAGAUGAAAGUUGUUAUUUCAUAAUAGAAUAACUAUUCUUAGCACACCACAAUUAAUUUGUAAGAAAAUUAUAUAUUUUAUGUACUAAGAUAUUUGCUCCAUGGGUAAAAUAAUUAUUCUUAAGGUAAAAGUGUACAAUUACGGGAAACAACACUAAAAACACAUUUAAAAGUUAUUAUGUGAAACACUUUAUACUAAUUAAUUAAUUAAGUAUAUAACUUAAUUGUGAGAUUUUUUUCUUAAAUUAGAUAUCAUGGAGAAAUUAAACUAACACUACUACAUACCAGAAUUUUUAAACAAAUCAAUUAAAAAUGACAUUUUAAAUCAAUUGUAUGAACAUUUUAAAAAGUCACAUCUUAAAAAAGUCAUGACUUUUUUAUAUUAGUUUUCAAUUAUUUUUAACAAUUAUCAUUUAAGAUGUGUUUGUUUAGAUAAUCAAUCUAAAAAAUAAAUAGUUUUAAACCAUUUUUAGAUGGCUUUUUGCCAUAAGCAAACUAAUUAUUUUCAUAUAGCACAUUUUAUUUAUUUUUCUUCCUAUAAAUAGACAUCACACCCACAUAAAAGACAACACAAUGCAAAUUAUAAUAGCAAAUGCACUACUUAGUACUUACUCAUUGUAAACAAAUUAUACUCAAACAUUUUAAACAAAUUCUACUAUACUCGUUGAACCUUAAUAUACAUAACACAUAUACAUUUACCAUAACCUUAUAUAAAGCAUCCCAAAGAUUUAAGUGCUAAAUGUUUGUGAAUUGAUUGGAUAAUGUGUAACAUGGUGUAAUAUACAAUAAGCUUUGGUUCUAGAGUCAGUAGAAAAAGUAAAUACAUGUCUCACUUGUACAUAAACAUAGAACCAAAGCAAAAGCAUUUGUCAACUGAUAGAGAAGACUUGAGGACCCACAAAUCUUCUUCAUAUGAUAAAUUGGAUAGCAAAAGUUUUGAAAGAGGUGGAACGAAAAAUCCAUCAAUAGUAGUCCCAAAUGGAUGAAUGCAUCAACAACUAUAUUACUUUUAGGAUUUCAUCCUGUAGUUGUUGGGAAAAAAACAUUUGAUUUAGUUGAGCAUUUAUUUUGCAAAUACAGAGUAUCAAACUAUCACGAUAAGGCUGAACUUGCUACUUCCUAAUAUUUGACAUAUGCAAACACUUCUAAUGAUGAAUCUUAGAGACUCGAGAGAAAUAAAAUCACAAUGUUGAGACAAAUUUGAAUGAGGUCCUAGAAAAGGAUAAACAUAGAAGCACCAGAAGAACAUCAAAUAUGUUUUUUCCUCUCUGGACCCUCAUUCACAUUUGUCUAAACAUUUUGUUACAAUUUUCUCUUAGGCCUCAUAGACUCAUCACUAGAAGUGUUUGCUUACGCCACUACUAGAAAGUAACAAGCUCAGUCUCAUCAUGAUAGCUUGAAACUCUAUAUCGACAAAAGAAAUGCUAAACUAAAUCAAAUGUCUUAUUUCUAACAAUUGCAAAAUGAAGUCUUGAAAGUAAUUCAAUUGGAGAUACAUUCAUUAGUUUGGUAUUACUAUUGAUGAUUUUUUUUGUUCCAGUUAUUUAAGAACUUGUGCUACCCAAGUUAUUAUAUGAAAAAAAUAUGUGGGUCCUAAGUCUUAUCUAUCAAUUAACAAAUAUUUUUUGCUUUAGUUCAAUGUUCAUGUAUUUGGGAGAUAUGUACUUACUUUUUUGUCUGACUCUUGAACCAAAGUCUGUUGUACAAUACAUCAUGUUACACAUUACCCAAUCAAUUCACGAACAUUUAACACACUAUAUGAUGAAGAUGAAAAAACCACUUAGGUUAUAUACCAACAUUCUACAAAUUGACAGCUUCAUGAAAAAAAUUGUCCAAUGUUGUUGAAUGUUAGCAAUAUUCUCCAAAAGCAUUGAACUCGAAUUGUUAAAGGUCUACAAUUUAAAAAGAAACAAAUAAUAAAAUAUUAUCUCAAGAACUAAAAACAAAAUAUAAUUAAUCUAGCUUGUGAAAAUUGACUUACAUUUUUCCAUGAAUCAAUAAUAUUUUGUGACAAUUGUGAUCAUAUGGUGUAUGACAUAAUAUCCACACUCAUAACCUCCAAGUUGUGUUUCGCACUGCUACAAAUGAACAUCAAAUUAGUGACUACUUACAUAGGAUAAUUUUUAAUGGAUAUUCGAUUUUAAAACUACUUACACGAGAUAAAAUCCAUGUAUGCUUCCUUCUAUUUGUUGGUUGUAUAGCCAUGUAGACCAUUAACCUUUGAUAUUUGUCCAUAACACUAACAUAAAAAAAUAAUCAUGUGAAUUGCAUUAUAGGUUUUAGAGUUAUAAAUACAUGAGAAAGGAAAUGUUUUAGAAAUAAAAGCUUAUGAAUUAACUAUGUUUCUCAUUUCUCGGUUGAUAUACUUCUUGUAUAAUGAACACAAUAACACCACAACAGUUUGCUUAGGACAAAGUAUCAACAAUUGUUAGUGGCUCCUACAAUGGAGAACAAUUAGUAACUAAUAACACAUAAUUUGAAAUAAAUUGUAAACUAGAACUUACGAAUACAAGUAAGGUGUUAAGUAAAAUUGAUGUUUGCCUUCAUGUAGCUUAAUUUGCAAAUAGCUUUGAACAUUCAUUAUCUUAUUCCCAUCAUUCUGAAAGGAUAAUGGGUCCAUGAAUCCAUAAAUAUGUGCAUUCUCCAUAUCAGUACAUAAGAAAUGUAGAUACCUAAGAUAUUGUAAUAAAUGUUAAAUACAAUAAAUUGAUAUUUAAUUAAUUAGUAUAUUUGCAAUUUAAAUGUACUUACAUAAACUAGAAUUGUAUGGCUGAGAUGUUAAGCAUAUUUGUGCCCAUAUAUACUUCCAAGAGGUUCCUCUGCUCAAUAUAUAAUGAUGUGUUACAAGGGUGCCUAGUACAUUUGGAUUCCAUUGUAGUUGUAUAGGAUGCUUAAUUGUGUUUGCUACCAUGAAUAAACGUUCAACGAGAUCAACUUGAGGUUUAGACCUUUCGUGUGGAACAUCUUUGCUAUGUGGCCAGGGCUAAACAAUAAAGGUAAAACAAUAUUAGUAAACAUUAUUAAGUCAUCACGACUAUAAAUUGAGAAAAACACAAGUAAAUAAUUGAUUACAAAUACCUUAGGUAAAAUAAACUUAAUGAGUCUUCUCGACCACUAAAUGAAAUGAUUAAGAGUAUUUCUACUAUUUGAACGUCAUUAAUAUGGAAAAAUGCUAGAACAUUUAUAUCUUUAACCUCUUCAACCACCACACCAUGAUUGUAGAAUCAAAAUGUUUGUAUGUUUGAGUUGCAUUUUCAAUAUACACUUAGAUGUAAAAAAUAUAGGAAAUAAAAAAAAAAUAGAAAAAACAUAUUUAUGCAAGCUAGAAAAUUUACAAGUUUACUACCUCAGUAGGAAAUUUCUUUACCUAAAUCAAAUAGCUUCACUGAGUGCAUCAACCAAAAGGUACCAGUAGAUGAGUGUCCUACAACAAAAAAAAAACAAAAAAAAAUGUUUAUGUAUAACACCAACAAAAAUGGUUAAGAUACAUAUGUGUGUGUGAAAAAAUCAAACCUCAUAAUUGGUUGCUCCAUCAACAAUGAAUAUACAAAUUUGUAGCCCAUGUUCCAAAAAUAACUUUAUGCAUGUCUAAGCAUUGAAUCGUUGAAUAUGCCAUCACAAAAAUAUAAAAAAUCACAUAUGAGAAAGUUAUUGCUUAGUUGACAAUUUCCAGAUGAGUAUUUUCCUACAUAUUAUCUAACAUUAACAAGCUUUGAGAAAUUUUGCAUAAAUGAAAAGUGAGGCAAAAUAAUAAGUAACCACAUAGAAAAAAAUGGAAGACUAGAGUUGAUGGAUAAUGAAAGAAAAAAAAAAUCUUAUCAUAAGCAAUUGGAUUAUUAGAACCUGAUGAGGAAAAAAUAUUAAACCUUGAAUAUCCAUCUUCAGAAUCUCCCGAUCAAGGCCAAGUUGAUGUUCGUCUUGAUCUCAUUUAGCGAGGAUUUUGGUUUAUAAACCCAAAAAAAGGUGAGUCAUGUUAAGAGAUUUAACACGAUGAAAGGAGAAAGAGGUGAAAGGUACGAGAUAGGCGAGAGCGGCUCUAGGAUUUCAACAGAGAAAGAAAAUCUAGUGGUUAUAUUUUAGGGUUAGCCAAAAGUACUUCUUUUAAGUAAGCAAUACAAUAUGGGCUUGGGCCUAAUUUCAUUCUAUGUUUGUUAGGAACGUUUGGUUUUUGAUGGAUGCAAAAGAUCAAAAAUUGAAUUUGCCUAGUAAAAUCCAUUCAAACCCAUUUUUUCAACUGCCCAAUGCAUUUACUUGCCCAAACAAUAAAAAUAUAUAUUAUUAAAGUCACUUUAUAAAUUACAUGAGUCAUUAUUAGAUUUAAAAUAUAUAUACAGAUACACCAAAUCAUAUAGUUGAGUAAUACACACACAUUUACAUUCAUUGAUAGAUAAAAUAUUAAUUUAAUAUAUUAUGGUCUAUGACCUUUAAUUUAUAGAUAGAACACCUCUAACGGAUUAGGUUUUAGUGCUUAACCUCCACUAAAAUCUCACAUGGACACAACAUACUUUCAAUAAGAAAGUUGGAAAUCUUAAGAGGGAUGCUAAUAAGGAGGUCUUGAUGAUUGUUUGUACAAAUGGGAGCCAUAUUCAGUAAAGUCAAAUUUGCAUCUAUUUUGCAAUCAUUGUACUUAUAUUUGUAAAAUAAGGACCGAUUAUAAAUGUUGAUCAUCGGUAACAGUUGCAGUAGUUGGUCGUUGAUCGUCGAUAACAAUCUUGGUUAGCAAUCGCGGUUGCCAAUUGCCAAUAACGAUUGUGGUCAUUGUUCGCUGGUUGUUGAUCGCGAUCGUCGAUUAUUAGUAACAAUCGCGAUCGUUGGUCACCAUUUGCCAGUCCAUCAUAUUGACAUUUUUUUGGAUUACAAAAUUUUAUUGUUGAAGAUACUUCGGAAGAAUUUGAGAAUGAUUUUGAAAUUGAUUAUGAAGUUCCUUUUCUAUUUUGCAUCAGUUUUCAAAAUCCAAGUUGAAAUUAAAAGUUCAAAACAAAAACUAGGUUUUAUUUUCAAAUAUUUCAAAAUUGAAAAAUGAAAGCCACUCCAAACGGAGCCUAAUAUUUACGGAUAAAAAAGAACAUAUUCAUGAGAUAUAUAGAAAAGAGAAGAGGAACAUGGAAACAAAAAAAAAUGAAGCAUGGGCAAAAAUAGAAAAAAAAACAACGAGUAGGUAAUGUAAUUUGGGUAUUUAAAUAAUCUACAAUCUUAUAACACUUAUUAUUUUUAACUAACAACAAGGACCUAAAAUAAAUCUUUUAAUAUAUUAGAGACUCAAAACAAUAAAAAAUUAUUAGGGAUCUAAAACAAAAUUUAGUAAUGUAUCGGAGAUCUUAAACAUAUUUUAGCCUUUGUGGCAUUGGACUUGGUUUAUUUAAGUAAGGUCUUGGGGUUGAGCCUUGUAAAUGAAAAAAAAUAUGAUUAGCCAGGGAGAUCCCAUUAAAAGUGACCAAUAAGGUUUUCUGACGAAAAUUAAUCAUCAAGAAAAGUGGUGGAUACUUUGCACCAAUAUUGUGAUUAAAAAAAAUUAAUCUUGUUUUGUUUUUAUCACAUUAGUUUUUUAUAUGUAGAAAUUAAAUAUAAGUAUUUGAGUAUUUAGAAUUGAACAAAAAUCACCAUACUUAAUUAGGAUAACAAGAUUUUUUUUUACUCUUUCCUCUUCCUCUUCCAUAUAUAUAUAUAUAUAUAUCCAUAUGUUUCAAAGUUCAAACAGUGUCAUGAAUGUCUUAACACAUUCAUUUUUUUCUUUAUAGAAAACACAUAUUCAUUUUUUUAUAACUACUGUUGAGAAUAGUAUAGACUAAAUUAUGACUUUAGUUCUCUUAUAAUUUUGAAUCUAUAGUUUUGAUCCCCUAUUUAUAAAUCAAAAUAUUUAAUCCAUCUAUUUUAAAAAAUAAACAAUUUUGAUAUUUCGUCAUCCAGAGUUAGACCUUGACUUUGAUGUCCAUAUUGAUGCUGAUAUGAUGCUUAUAUGAAAAAAAAGAUUAAAUGAAAUAAAAAAAGUAUCUUAAUAUGACCCUUUAUUCAUAAACAAGAUAAUGAAUCACAAACACACUUAUUUUAUUUAGUUAAUUACAUUAACAUUAUUUUUUAUGUAUUAUUCAUCAAGAGUUAUUAAUUUUUUUCUAUAUAUCUACGUAAAAUUAGUAAGAUUUCUAUUUGAAAUAUUUUUAAUUUAUAAAUUUUGAUAAUUUAAAAAAAAAUUAAUAACUCUUAACUAAUGAUACAUGGAAAAUAAUGUUAAUAUAAUUAAUUAAGAAAAAUAAAUGUUUUAUUGUCUUGUCUAAUAAUAAUUUUAUGUAAAUAAUCAAAUUAAAAAUAAUAAAUAUUUUAAAAUUAUUUUACAAAAAAAUAAAUAUAAAUAAUUUAUAUAUUAAUUUAUGAAAUUUAAUUGUAAAUUGAUAAAAUAAAAAUAAAAAUACGUAAACUAUUCAAAAUAAUAACAUAUCAAUGAUAUAAAAUAAAAUUAAAAAAAAUUAUAUAUUAAAUAUUUUUUAAUUUAUAAAUUUUAAUAAUUUUAAAAAAAUUCAUAACUAUCGAAGAAUGAUACAUAAAAAAUAAUAUUAAAGUAAUUAACUAAAAGAUAAAUAUAUUAAAAAUUUAUUAUCUAUUAUAUGAAUAAAGAAUUAUAAAUUUAAUUCUUAUUAAAAUUUUAUUUUUUAUUUCAUUUAAUUUUUUUCAUAACCAUAUUAGUUUACAUAAACUCACAUCACAUCAGCAACAUUUUGCCAAUUAUCAUUCCGAUUUCUUACAUGGCAUACUCCUAUUGGUAGCCCCCAAAGAUUUCAGUGGGUCAGGCUCCACAUAAGCCCAAUCCUCUACUUCCUCAAUCUUCUGGUGGAUAAGAAAAAGAUCUAAACACUUCCCAUGUUUCAAUGGACAACAAUAACAAUAACACACAAAAACAAUUCCACAGCUACAUAUCCACCACACCAUGGCCACAACCACCAUGUUCUCAUCACCAUCGGCAAUUCUCUCCUCAGCCGCCACAACCACCACCCCAAAACCAUCCUCUGCAGCACCACACUCCCCAUCAUGCAAGCAUCCUCUUCUACUACCCUUCAAACAGCCCUUAACAACCUUAACUGCCGCCGCCGCCAUCGCCACUAUUUUAACCUCCGCUCCAACACCCUCCUUAGCACAAGAGUCCCUCUCAUAUAAAGUCUACUAUGGCACCGCCGCCAGCGCCGCGAACUACGGCGGGUAUGGUGGCAACUCCAGCAAGAAGGACUCUGCUGAGUAUGUCUACGACGUGCCUGCUGGCUGGAAGGAACGGUUGGUGUCUAAAGUCGAGAAGGGUACCAAUCACUGAUGCUUCAAUUUGCUUCACGUAUCUCAUACUGAUACUCAUACGUAUUUUUGAAGUAUCCGAGCUUAUGAAAAAAAAAAAAUGAAAAUUUCAAUAUAAGAACAUGAUAUAUGUCUCUGUAUAAUAUAUAAGCAUGGAAGCAUUGUCCAUUGAAGAACUAAAAUUUCAAAAUUAUUCUUUUUAUGGAUGAUUUCAAGAAAGGAAUGAAAUUGAUAGUACUAUUCUUAUUUGAAAAUAAUAGGAAAAUAAUUUAUGAUUAGGUUUAUAAUUUUUUUUUAGUGAUGUCUAUGUUUUUAAUUUAGAUUUGUAGAAUUGCAAGUAUAUAUUCAUUACGUUUUAUGAAUUUUUAUACAUGUCUCGAUAUGAAUGUAUCUUAAUACACGUAUUGUAUAUGUGCAUCAUCAUAGGUACCAAUGGAACGGACAGUGAGUUUUAUAACCCAAGAAAGAAGGCAGAGAAAGAGUACCUCACUUUUCUCGCCGGGUUUCGCCAACUUGCGCCAAAGGAUGUGAUUUUGAACAACUUGGCACUGUCUGAUGUGGACCUGCAGGACCUGAUUGGCAAUGCUGACAGUGUGACCUCUGAGGAGGUGAAGGAUGAUAAGGGGCAGCUGUACUAUGUGUAUGAGAUUGAUGGUGUUGGCACUCAUAGCUUGAUCUCAGUGACUUGUGCUAAGAACAAGCUCUAUGCACAUUUUGUCAAUGCUCCUACUCCUGAGUGGAACAGAGAUAAGGACGUGUUGAGGCAUGUUCAUGAGUCUUUUAAGACUGUGGGGUCUUUUUAGUUGGCUUGUGGUGUUUUGUAUUUUGUAGAGGUAAUGGAUGAUUAUCUAUUAUGAGGAUGAGGAUGGUUUCUUUUGAUGAUAAAUUUUAAGUUUUUCCUACUUGUCUGCUUGAUUCAAUUUUUGGCAUAGUUAGCUUCAAUUUGGAACUGUUUUAAAUAGAGUGUAGCUGUUGCAAGGUGUAAGUCUAGGUUGUUUGUGGUUGAACUUGCGAGUGUUCUUGUAGUUGUUUGUAGCUUGAAAAACUGAAGGAUGUUGUUGGACUUUUUCAUGUAAAAUUCAAAAUUUAGGGAUUUUCAAAAUAUUUUGGCAUGGAAAAUUUAGAAUUAUUCCUCAGGAGUUAGGCACUGAUUAUCUGUUCUAUGCAGAGGAUGGUGUCCUUAGGAUGGCUUCUUUUGAUAAAUUUGGGAUUUUUACUGUUUGUUAGCUUGGCUGAAUAUUUGGUAUAGUUGGCUUUGGUUUGGAACUUUCAAUUUCUAAUGUGGUUAAUUGAGAAAAUAGAGUUUAGCUUUUACAAGUCUAAGUUGUGUGUGGUUUAUGGUUGAAUCUGUUAGUAUUAUUCUGGUUGUUUGUUGCUUACAAAUUCAAUUUCUGAUGUUUUUGGACUUUCUUUUUUAUGGAAAAUUGAAUUUCUGAUUUUUAAAUUGGAAUUGACUAAUGAAAUUUUGGGUAGGCCGAGGAAAAGGCUGGAAUUAGAAAUAUUCCUCAGGAACCAGGUAAUGAUUAUGUGCUCUAUGCAGAGGAUGGUGUCCUGCUAUGGGUUAGAAAUUUUUACUACAUGUCAGCAUAAUUGUAUUUCUGGUUCAAUUGGAUUCUCUUUGAAACUUUCAGGAAUCCCUCAUGUGAAAUUUUUUCUGUGGAAAUUAGAGACUAGUGGUUGAAUCUAAUACUUGCUGUAGCUUGAAAUUUGAAAACUCUUGAGUUGAGUUGUGGCAGUUAUCAUAAGUCUUUGGAGAUGUUUUCAUGGAAAAUUCAAUUUCUGAUUUUUAAAUUAGAGUUAUGAUCAUUGCAAUUUCGGGGUAGGAUGAUGAAAUAUCAGGGACUAGAAAAAUUCCUCUGGGUCAGUGACCUCUCGUGGGAUUCAUUUUCACGAUCCUUUUGAUCACUAAUAUUUAUAAUUCAAAUCUCAAAACUAUAUGGAUGGCUACUCUGUAACUGAUAUUGAAGGUUAAUUGACUAAUAGAUUGGUAAGAUUUUUGGUUACUAACUAAAUCCUCUAACCUCUUAAAGUUGGAUGCAUUUAUUUGAGAUAAAGCUUGAUUUCUGGUACUGUGUUACAUGACCUUGAUGUUGUUUGAUUCAUAUUGGAUGUGGCUUUACCAACCAACCAGUUUAAACUUAAACACUAAUUGUCAUCAAAUAUAUAAAUACUGUGGACUGCAAAAUCAUAAGAAGAUAAACCAGAAGAAAGAUGAAAUCAAAAGAAAAAUUCCUUAAGAAUGAAGUUCAACUCAUUAUAGCUUAUCCUACAAAUGAAGUUCACGUUUAACUUGGGAAGAUUUUGAUUUGGCACAUUUGAUUUAAGUAUCAGUUUAUUUUAUUUUAAAUUUAGUAAAAUUGAUUUUGAAUUGCUAAAUUAAGUGUCUUACUAAUCCUAAUAUACUAGUUAAGAAACCAAUAAUAGAUAGUAUUUUUUUUAUUUAUUGAAAAUCAUUUUGAGAAUUUAUUAGAAAUCAGUGCAAUACAUUAACAAUAUUUUUAAGGAUUAACUAACUUUCUAGUUAUUAAAUUUUUUCAAAAUUUAAUCUUUAGUCCCCGAAUAAAAAUUUGUUCGAUGAAUGUCUGUUAAUUAUUUUUCUUUAAUGAUUCUAGUUCCAAAAUAAUAAUUUGAUAGGUCAAAAUUCUUAAAUUUUUUAUUUUUUAAUUUAUGGAAAAAAGUUUAAACUCCAUUAUGUUUAGGAUGCACAUUAAUUGUUCAUUGGUCAAUUGAAUAUUAUUGUCUAAAUCAAAUUAAUGGUGUUAAAAAUAUGUAUUUUGUGAUAUUUUAAAAUCACAUAAUUAUAAUUUUAAAUUGUCAUAAAGUACAAAAAUUUAAUAUCAUUCAUUUAAUUUAGACAAUACAAUCAAAUUGAAUUAAUUUAAAAAAUUAAAGACUCAAAUUAAGUAAAAAUAAACUAGAAGAACAAAAUAAAUCUAAAAAAUAAAUUAAAGAAAAAAAACAAAUUCAACCAAAAUAUUUUUCACUCAAUUAUCGUUCAAGAAAAGAGUGUGAACAGGGUCAAAGAAAUGGAGGUGGGGAUAGAUCCAUUUUUUCUUAUUUCAAUUUUUUAGGGUUAUUUAAAUAAAGAAUCCCCCCUCCGUCUCAAAGCUUUCCUCGGAUCUGACCUUACGCGAAAGAAGAACCCUGGAAGAGAGCGAUCCAUAAUCCAUUGGUAAGGAAUCUUCUCUGUUGAUUAAUUGAUUUUGUAAUUCCAAAUUUCGAAUCUUUCAAGUUGAGAUCCUCACAAGAACUUGAAUCAAUGGUGCUCAUAACCCGUUGCUAUUUUUAGUUAACAACAAACAAGGACACGCAAGACAAAAGCACGAAACUCAUAGGUAUACACAGCUAUCUCUUGAGCUUCUUAGCAAAGAGAAUUUUGAGCAGAAACUUGGUGGUGGUGUUGGAAGAGGAACAAUACAUCGUCCCUUUGGUAUUCCGGCAAACCCAGAAUCCACUGUUGGCUUGGAUACACCGUUGUGUAAGCUGUGUUGGGAUGAACAAGUCAAGGGUAAGUUUUCACUUCUUGUUUCUUUCAUGUAUGAUGAAUGGGUGGACUAGAAUUCUCUUCUUUUUUUAUGAUUUCAUUCAUAACUUCUUCACAUCACAUGUUAUCUAUUUCCUCUGCAAUAUUUUGUCAUCAACUACUUGUAGUAUCAACCAUGUCUCACAAACUAAACCGAUUCUAACAUAAUUACUCCAUGUCCACCUUAAUUACAAUGCAAAAGAACCACUUCUAUUUUUAUUAUUUUUUUUUUAAUUUCAAAAGAACACAAUAUCAUAAACACACUUAACACCGAUAGUAGUCAUUGAGCACAAAUAACCUCACCAAGAAGCACAUGACAGAAUGAAUACUAUUGGUGUUAGAGAGAUGAUGCGAGAUACCUUUAAAUGUGGUUUGGCUCCUUGCCUUAUAUAAGUUAUGGUCUACUGAAGUUAACAAGUUAUUAGCAACAAUGUGCUGAGAGAAUAUUUCUCCCAAAAAAAACUUUAUAAUCAAAAUUACAAAUUCAUCGAAAGACCUUCAAUCGUCAAUUGACAACAUUUUUAAUAUAUAAUUCACCAAUAAAAAAAUCAUCAAAUUUCUAUUCAAUUGUAUCAUAAAAUUUUACCAAUCGUCAACCAAGCAUUAUAUUUCACUAAUAUAUAUAUAUAUAUAUAUAUAUAUAUAUAUAUAUAUAUAUAUAUAUAUACUAAAAAUCAAAUCAAAUUACAUUAAAUUAACUUUACCAAUUAUUACAUCAUUUUAAAACUUUAAAUUAAAUGAUAUUUUUUUAAAACUUACUGUUUGAUGGAAAUUUUUUUCCACAUAGAUCACAUAUGUAAAAUUUUAUAUUAUUUUUCAAAAUCAUUUAUUAUAUCUUUCAUUUAAAUUAAAAUCAACAUCAUCUAAAUAUUAAAAAAUAUACUAAAAUAUAGAUCGGGUGACUAUCUUAUUGUUGUUAUUCAAUUUUUAAAAAAAUCAACAUAAAUUAUGUUUGUAAUAUGAAAAUAUAAUUUAACGAUUGAAUUAAUAUAAAUCUCAUAUAUAUAUAUAUUAUAAAAAAUAAAUCAUAUUACUUUGUCCAUCAAUAAAAUUAGAAUAUUUCAUGUAAGAUUUUAAAUAAUCAAUUUGCAAUUAUUUCAUAAUAAAAUAAUCAAUUAACUAGUAAUAUAGAAAAGAAAUUUGAAGAAAUAAUAUAGAAUUUGCUAUAGUCUCCAUUAUUUACUCAUAGACUUCCUAAAAUACUGGGAUUGAAGCCAACAAACAUUAAUGGUGGGACGUAUAAAUGUAAGAUAUCAUUAAUUGAAAUUAAGUUAGAAAUUCAAUGUAAGAUAUAAAUGUAAACAAUUUUUUUAACUCUUGAUAUAACUCUAGAAAUUUCCAAUAUCAUUAAUUGAAAUUUUUUCAAUUUUUUAAAAAUUAUAAUACUCCUUAAUUUAUUUUAAAUUCCUCUAAUUCAUUACCUAUAUAAAAUAUAGUCAUGUGACUGAAAAAGGUAUGAGCAGAAUUAUUCAGCUAAAUUCAACUCCUUAAAAUAUAGUUAAUAUAAGUCUAAGGUUUUCCAUCAUCUCUUUCAAGCUUAAAUAACAUUUCCAUUAUUUAUAUUAACAAUAUGAUACUCUAUAUUUCUACACUAAAAAGGAUUUCCUAUUCUAAGUAGUUCAGAUUUUAUUGAAAAUGAUAAAAUUAGAAAAUAAUUAUUAAAUAUAAUGUGAGACUUAUAAAAUUUUAUUAUUGUUUAAUAAAUUUCAUUCAACAAGGUGGAUGUGUUCAAAAAAAUGUCAUAUUACUUCUUAUAGAAUUAUGUUUUGUUUUUGCAUGUUGGUUUUGUGGAUCCUUAAAAACUUUUUUGUUUAUUUUUUUUACGUUGGUUGGUGGCUUCCAGUCAUCCACCCCCCAUAACUAUUUUAUUUUUAUUUACUUCAUAUAUAAUUAUAUUUAUAUCGAUAUUUCGAUAACUUUUAAUUUAUUUUAUUUACUUAUGUAUUUCAUUGGCCAUUUUGUUGACAAUUUUAACUCCUGUUCCUCUUCCUCGUCGGUUCUUUCUCUUCUUUUAUUAAAUACUCUCUUAAAACUUAAGGAUAUUUCAUAUAGUUAGUUCUUGUUUAGUUUGACUUGCGAAAAAAUCGCUUCUUUUGUCAGGUUUUUGACAUAGUUUUUGAAAAAUGAAAGAGUCAUUAUUUUUAAUCACUCAAUGAUAGAAUUCUUUCGUAGUUAGUUUUUGUUAAUAAUAAAGAUUCAAAUCUACGAUCUUUAUUUCUCUUCUUCAGCCACCGAACGAAUCUUAUAACUCUUGAAAGACCCAUUAUUCUCUUAAGAUUGUUACAAAAGUGUGCAAAUUAUCCUUUAGAAAGUUAAUAUGUGUACAAAAUGUUUCAUCAUAAGGGCAUAACCUAAGCAUUUCCUAUUCUCUGCAAAUGAUGCUUCCCACUCUUAGGUGAAUUACUGCAACAGGGAUUUGAAGGAAAAUUUUAAAAAAUUAGUGUAGGUCACACAUAAUUCAAAUAUUUCUUUACUAUUUAAUUCCAUUCCAUUAUACUCUACCAAACUAUGCUCACAAUGAAAUGAAUGCCUUGGUUUCACCUAGGUAAAUUCAGGGAAAAUAUUUUAUUUGUCACCUUCUCAAAAACGCCCAACUUGAAGAUUAUUGUAGAGAUAUUAUUUGAACACUAUGGAUAUCAAGUGCCCGAUUUUCAAAGUGAUGAAGAAGCAGUUAAGCGAUUGGGACUUUUGCUUAGGAAAAUUGAGGGAAGUUCAAUGUUGUUGUUCCUGGAUGAUGUUUGGCCUGUCUCAGAAGCCCUUGUCAAGAAAUUUCAAGUCCUGAUACUAGAUUCUAAAAUUUUGGUAACUACUAGGGUUGGAUUUCCUAGAUUAGGCACUCAGUGUAUCUUAAAACCACUCGUUCAUGAUGAUGCAAUAACCCUUUUCCGGCAUUAUGCGUCAUUGGAAGAAAGCUGUUCUAGUAUUUCUGAAGAAGUCAUCCAAAAGGUGCGAACCAUAUGGUAGAAGUCAUUCAAUUGAAGUAGAUAUCACAAUAUUGGAUAAUGGAUAUUAACACUUGGAACCUUUUUAUCAUUGAACUAACAUUGAAGAAACAUGUACAAAAUAGAAAACCAUGUUUUGACCCCUCAAAAUAAUAUGAUAAAUUACUUGCAGCUUGGGGGCCUAAGUCAUAGAAAUUUGGUUACUGACACUGGCUAUUUUUGGUUGCAAAUAUAGGUUGUGAAAAACUGCAAGGGUUUACCACUUUCCAUCAAAGUGAUUGGGAGCUCACUCUGUAAUCAGCCUUUUGAGUUGUGACCAAAGACAGUGGAGGAAUUGUCCCAAUGUCUACUUGAUUCUAACUUCAGAUAAUUCUGUCAAGGAGUGCUUCAGGGACCUAGGGUUAUUUCCUGAAGACCAAAGAAUUCCUUUUACUUCUCUUAUUGAUAUGUGGGCAGAGUUGUAUGGACUAGAUGAUGAUGGCAUAGAGGCAAUGUCCAUCAUCAACAAAUUAGACUCCAUGAAUCUGGCUAAUGUCUCGGUAGAAAGGUACAAUUACAGCAUAUAUUUUCUUCACUUAAUCCUAAUAUAUACAACAAAUAACAUGAAUUUAUGCUCUAUAAAACAGAUAAUUCAAUGUCUUGUAUAGCUUAUGUGAGAAGCAUAUGUUUCAUCAUAUAAUAUUACAAGAGAAAUGCUAGCAACACUCUCUAACAUUCUUUUUCUGAUACUCUAUGAUUGGUUUAAAUUUAUUGAAAACCACCAAUUUUGGUUGGUCCCUCAUCUCAUUUAAUGAUUCUUUCUCCUAAUUUAGAAGUGGGAUCCACCAAAAUUAGUCAUUUCUAAUAAUUUUCCACCAAUCACAAAGAGAGUAUUAGGAAGAGAGUGUCACUAACAUUCCUCAUAUUACAAAUUACAAAUGACCAUUUAUCUUAGUGAAAUUGAGCACCUUACAGUCUGUAUUUAUUAAUGUGAACUUAAGUUGAAAUUCAUAAUUAUUCUUUUUCAUAGAGAGCAUUUUUAUUAUCUUGAGUGAAUUUCUCUUAAGGAAUGAAUUUCUGCUUAUUUACCCGGAAAAAUGCUAGUGACACAGACAAUUACUUCUACAAUAACCUCUUCAUCGUCCUUCAUGACCUUCUGAGAGCUUGCAAUUCAUCAAAGCACCCAGGAACCAAUUGAACGGAGAAAAAGAUUGAUUAUUGAGAUAAAUCAAAAUAAACCUGAGUGUUGGCUUGGGGAGAAGUCAAAAUUGCUUGGCUGGCGUGUUAAACAGAAGCCCCAACAUGCCACUGACCACACAUUGUCUAUAUCAACUGGUGAGUUAUACCUUUUCUAAAGGCUAUACUUACAAAGUAAAAAUUAGUAGUAUAGUAUGAAUGUUAGUUACAGUGAUCUGCCAUUCAUUAUAUUCACAACUGAUGCCAUAUGGGUUGCAUUUGCAGAUGAAAAUUGUACUUCAGAUUGGCCCCUAAUGAUGCAACUGGCUCAAGUUGAGGUUCUGAUUUUUAAUCUUUAAACUAGGAAAUAUUCCUUUCCAGAUUUCAUAGAAGAGAUGAACAAACUAAAAGUUCUGAUAGUCACAAGUUACAGUUUCCAUCCUUCUGAAAUGAGCAACUUUGAGCUAUUUGGCUCUUUUCCAACCUGAAAAGAAUACGACUAGAGUGGAUUUUUGUUCCUUCCUUUGUUGCAAUGAAGAAUCUUAAAAAGUUAUCCCUCUACACGUGUAAUAUGAAGCAGGCAUUUGAAAACAAUCACAUGCUAAUUCCAAACGCUUUUCCGAAUCUUGAAGAGUUAAACAUUGACCAUUGCAAAGAUAUGGUGGCAUUGCCUAAGGGGCUCUGUGAUAUCACCUCCUUGAAGAAGCUCAGCAUUACUAAUUGCCACAAACUCUCUGCACUGCCGCAAGAAAUUGGAAAUUUGAUGAAUUUGGAACUCCUAAGCCUCAGUUGCUGUACUGAUUUGGAAGGUAUACCAGCUUCUAUUGGAAGGCUUUCAAAUCUACGACUUAUGGACAUCUCAAAUUGCAUAAGCCUUCCUAGUUUACCGGAGGACUUUGGUAAUCUGUCUAGUCUGCAAAAUCUCUACAUGAGAAGCUGUGCAAGGUGUGAAUUACCAUUCUCAGUUGCUAAUCUUGAGAAUUUAAAGGUGGUGGUAUGCGAUAAAGAGAUAGCUGCUUCAUGGGACGAUUUCAAGCCUAUGCUUCCCAAUCUAAAGAUAGAUACUUGUUCCUUAAUUAUUGUUAACCUGAAUUGGUUUCAUUCAAUCUCUUCCUAAUAUCAUGUAGUUCAGGUUGUCUUUUCAAGGUGUGAAUUACCAUUCUCAGUUGAUAAUCUUGAGAAUUUAAAGGUGGUGAUAGGCGAUGAAGAGACAGCUGCUUCAUGCGAAGAUUUCAAGCCUAUGCUUCCCAAUCUAAAGGUAGAUGUUCCUUAAAUUAAUGUUAACCUGAAAUUGGCUUCAUUCAAUUUCCUCCUAAUACUUGCUUCAUGCAUUUCAGGUUGUCAAUUCAAGAGCUGUUCAAGUGUUUCUGUUUUAAACCGCAACUGAUGUAAUUUGCGGGUUGGAGUUACUCGAACUCCUUGUGACUUAACUCCAACCAUAAUAAUGAAUGUUCUUCUGUUUGCUGUUCAAAAAAAGAAAAUCACACCAAAAAGGAAAAAGAAUAAAAUACAAUUUUCACGUUAGUAAAAGUAGAGCUGUCAAUUUGGCCAAGUUACAAGGUGGGCCAGGCAGAAAACGCACAUAGGGCCAAAAUGCCCAUAAAAGAAAUGGCUAUAGGGACAGAAAGCUCACAAAGCCCUGUGGGCUAGGACAGUCCAUGGGCCUUGAACUUUUAAGAAAUUUAUUUAUUAUUAAAAUUAUGUUCCAACUCUAUUCAUGGACCAGCUCACUCUAUAGAUGAAGAGGAUUGUUACUAGCCCCGUCCUCUUUGCUAUUCACCCCAUCCACGUGGGUAAAUUUUUUGUUAUUCUGAAAAUAUCCUUCACACGGAAUGUUGAUUCUGUUGUGAUAUUAUACAAAUGAAAUCAUGUUUUUGUUCAUAUUCUUUUUUUUUCCACCACCAAAUCAACAAAACAUGAUCAUGUUCUUGUUGUACAUAAUACAACAAAAACAUAUUUUUUAUUGUUUUUUUAAAGUGUUUUAAUUAUAAAAAAUAAGUUUAGAGUUUUAUAUUGUAAAUAUUUUAGAAAAUUAAAAUAAUAUUUAAAUCAAGAGAAACAAAUAUAAAUUAAAAGUAUUAAAAAUCUUACAAUAUGCAUAACUUGACAAAAUUAAAUUUAAAUAUAAACAUUAAAAUAUUUUAAACAUAAAAAAUUAAUUGAUUCAAUAACCAUUUUACAAAAAUAUAAAUUAACAAUAUACAUUCAGGUAUUCAACAUAAAUUCAUCUACAAGAAAAUUCACAUUAACAAAAUAAAAUUAAUUCGAAUCUUACAAUAAUUAAAUUAGCAUAACCAUAAACAUUAAUUUACCAACAAAAAAUUAAAGUAAAUAAUCCAUUCUAUUAAUAAACUAAACUAACAAAAAAAUGGAUUUAACUAUUAACUUAAAAUAAAUAUUAAUCAUUAUUUCAAUAAUUUUAAAAAAAUAUGAAAAACACAAUACACAAUGAACAAUUUCGUUUUGUAUCUCAACCAAGAUCACAACAUAAUUGAAUUUUUGUUAUGCUUUUUUUAAAAAACACAAUAAAAUUUUAUUUUAUUGUGUAUUUCAACAAACAACACAAUAGAAUUAUAUUUUUGUUAUACAUUUUUUUAAAACAACAAGGGUUGGGGGCGCAAGGAAGGAGUAGUAAGUUUUAAAUUUUGAAUUGAGGGAUAAAAUUAUCUUUUCUACGAGUUUUAAAUUUUUUAGGGGCUAAUAGAAAAUGUUGUAGGGAUCAAUAGCAACCCCUACAGAUUAACCAUCUCACUAUGUUGGCUAACUAAACUAGUCCACUUCUAACUUUAAUUAUAAAUAAAUCAUUCAAUUAAGAUGAAUUUAUUUUAAACUAAAAUUAACAUUUUAUUUAGCAUUUCAAAUAUUCAAAUCCAAAUAUUUGUCAAUAUAUAUAUAUAUAUAUAUAUAUAUAUAUAAUAUAAUAUAAUAUAAAUCAAUACAAGUAAAGCAAAUGUCUAACUUGUCAUUAGCAAUGUAUUGCAAUUAAUAAAAAAUCAGUUAAGCAAGAUACUACUAAUAAUAUCAGUAUUUUUGUAAGAAGUAUCAGUGCUCAUGACGUUAAUUCUUUAAUUAUAAAAAGUUCAUUAUUAUUUAUGUUAUUUAUUUAUUUAAUUAGAAAAAAUAAUCAUAUGAUUAAAAUUUAUAUACAUACUUACAUAGUAUAAAGUUUUAUUGAAUAAAAUGUUUAAUGAAUUUCAUUUUUAAAAUUAAAAAACUAUUUUUAUUAGUCCACUUUAAAAUAUUUUAAUUUUUUUUUCCAUACAAGACAAUUUUGUUCAAUCUUGCUUUCUGACUUGGAUACGUGCUCAGUUCCCUUGAAAAAAUCACGGGAACUAUUCCUAGAACACACACUAGCUCUAAGAAGAAAGAUUUAUUAUUAAUAUAAAAUUAAGGACUAGAUCAAUAGAUGUUUAUGAUUUGGCCAACACUAAAGUUGAAUUAAUUUAAGCUCAUCAAUUAAAUAAAUUACAUAAAUAAAUUUUAAAGUAUUUUUUAAGUCGAUCAGUUCAUCUAAAAAGGUCUUACAAAUUUAAAAGAUCAGGUUUUUAAGCAUAUAAUAAUAAUAAUAGUAAUAUCAUCAUUAUUAAAUUAAUUUUUUAACACAUUAAAAUUAUAUAUUUAUUAACAUAUUUAAACAUUUAAAUCUAUUUACGUAUUUAAGGACUUAAAUUACUAACAUAUUUAAUAUAUGUUCUUAGAUUAUUUUUAUUUGAAAGUCUCGUUAGUUUAGUUAUUAUAUCAGAUUACGAAGUAAAUGUUGAAAUAAACUAUAUUAGACACUGUAAAAUAAUUUUACUGUAACACACUGAAAACAACUAAAAAUUAUUGUGUGAUUGUGUGUAAUAUAGCUAGUUUAAUAGAUUUUUUUACUUCAUAGUAUAGCUUAAUAGAUUAGAAAAUAGAGAAAUAUUUAUUUUAAUUAGCUUCAAUUUUAAUUAAUAGUAGUAUUAAAACAAAGAAUUUAGUUAAGAAAAACAAAGUUUAACUUUAAAUAAAGCUUGAUCAAAACGAAGUCAUAAGUCAAUAAAAUUAGUUAAAGAAAGAGAAUGACACUUUGUUAAUGGCAUUGUUGUAAUUAAGUGAAACUUGAGUCUAGAAUCUAAAAUUAAACUUUUGAAAGUGUAAUCAUCUAAAAAAACCCACUAAUAGAUCUAGAGUGACUUUGAAUAGUCAAAUUAUUUAUUCUUAAAUGAUUAGUGAUUUUAAAAAUUGUAAUUAAGUUAAUUAAACUUAAACGGACUAAAUUACAUUGAUUAUCUAAGUGAUUGGAUGGUUGACUAUCUAAGUUUUAACUUUAACCAUCCAAGGAACUUGAAGUCACUUUUAAGACGUAAAAAACUUAUGGAACCUAGAUUGUUUUUAUGUCAAAACUUUCCAGAAUCAAAUUAUUUUGGAUGACACCUUCAAGGCCUCUUCAUCUGGGUAUGAUGGAAGUGACAAUGCUGAUCACAAGGAUUCUAUCCAAGUGUUGUGUCCAGUCAAGGCUUUUCGUGAAAAACACAGAUGAUGGCUUCAUUUCAAGGUUAUGGGCACUUCCCAAUCAUCUCCAAUGACACAAUGUUGUAUCUAAGGAAUUUUACUAAUCAUGUGAUGUAAGUCCAUGAAGUACUCAAACUAGAAAAGGAGCAGUGGGCGAAAGCUUACCUAGCUGAAGUUGUUGCCAAGGAAGCUGAAGAGAAAAGUACAAAAGAAAUGGUUGAGCAAGAUGCAAGAGCUGCAAAGCAAGCUGGAGAAGAUGCUACAAAGAUUACUGAGGUCCUUGUGUUGAUCUCAGCAUCCUUGGUGAUUUGCAAGAGAUUAAUGAACAAGCAACGUCCCCUGCAGAGUCCAUUGCUGCAAAGGCUGAUGAGGUCAUCCAAUCCAUUCAACCUGUCCCUGCGUUCUCAAGUGUUACUUUUUUGAAUGUCCAUCAUUAGACACAUCCUUUCUUUGCUCGAAAACAUAUUUUCGUUCUCACGUGUUACUUUUUUUGAAAAAAUUCCCUUUAUCUAAUAAAAAAUACAUUCUUGAGCAUCUUCAAGUCACUUCUUGCUCUGAGUGUUAUCAUUAAUAAAAAAUAUUUAAUCAUUUCUAUACUUUGAAAAUUUUUCUCAACAACCCAACAUAAAUAAAUAAAUAAUUUUAAUUAAUUAAUUUUAAAUUAAUAUUAAAUAUGUUUUAAGUUUUCUAGAUAGUGAAUAUUUGUAUUUCUACUUUUAUAACUCUUAAAAUAUAUUCUCGGAUGGCAGUUGUUUAAAAAAAGAAAAACACUAAAGAAGUUAUAUAAAAUACACCUUAUACAAUCUAUUACAAUUAAGCAUGUAUGUGAAAUUAAUUAAUUAAUUACAUGAAAAGUCACUUCAAUUUUGAUUUUCCAAACUUAUUAAUUUUCACAUUGAGAUAUCCCCAUCAUGUUCAAUUUCGGAGGCCGCUUCAUCUUCUUGCAUGCAAUCAAUGUCAACAGCACCGUGGCCAUGGCCAAAGGCCUUUAUGUGAUCCUUUAGAGAUCUUUUGUGUUUGAAAUCAGACCCACAUAAACAGUACCAUAUUUUGCCACAGUUCUUCUCGUGUGUCCUCCAAUCACCUUUCACCGCAAACGUUUUGUCACAUUUUCUGCACAUGUAGGGUUUAAUGCCGUGUUUUCUCUUGUAGUGUGUUUGAAGGGUUCUGAAGUCCUUCAGAGGCCUUGCUCUUGGGUGGUCUAUGUUGUGCUUGCAACCUGGUGCACAACAAAAGCAUGGAAGCCGUAGCAUUGCUGAUGGUUGUGUUCCUUUUAGAGAAUCAGGGCCCUUUCUAUAUUGAGAUCCAUGUCCCCACAUAUGCAUCUGCAAAGCAAUAUCAACAUGUAUAUAAUUAAAUACAGAUAUGUGCUAAUCAGUUGUGAUUUAUGAAUUUUAACUAAUUUGCCAGUAAAGAGGUAGUAAAACAAGUAUAAUUGCUACCCCUUCCUACCAUAAAAAGAAAAGUUUGGAAGAAAAUUUAGUAACUACGAUAUAUAUAUAUAUGCAAGAUGAAGGGUGUAUUUUAGUUUUGUCUUCGUUGAAAGAAAUAGACAAUGAGAGAGGGAUGUAAAUAAAUUUAUAGAUCACUUAUUGUUCAUGUCACAAAUUCAUACAGUAUUUUCUACAAUUAACGUAUAUGUUUGCCAUUUAAAUUAUUUUCCACAAUUUACAAUACUAGUGUAACAACAAGCAAAUUAAAGCAAGGCAGAUAGAAAACUCAAAUAAUGUAUUUCUUUAAUUCCACAGUAAGAUGGCUAAUAAAAGGCCCCGUGCUUACAAUUUUUGCACAAAAUAGUUAUUGGCACACAGAUAUUAACAUGAUUUUCUCAACCCUGCACAAUUAGUUUCAUGGGGUAUAGUGGGACUGGCUCUUUAAUUAAUCACACGAGAUCUCAAUGCGAUUCCAUAUAUGAAUCUUAUCACAGACAUGGCUUUGAACAUUUUUACUGUGUUUUAUACACCUGAAAUGAGGUGAGAUGCUGAUAAAUUAAGAACAUAUAAAUAUCCAGAAAGAAGCGCUGCUAUUAUAAAUUUCAUAAUUCGUUUUACUUUCCACUCAUUUUCAAUCCUGCGCAGAAUAGUAUUAUAAAUUCAUGUAAAAAAAAAUCACUUUAUUUUUUGAGAAAACAAAUUUAUAAAAUCAAGCUUGUGUCUAAUAUACCAAAUAGCUAAUUAAUCAUGUUCAUAUAAAUAUGUGUGUGUAGUAGAUAAGAGAAAGAUCGAGAACACCAUGCACAAGGGAUAGAUAUAUAACAAACCAAAAAGAGAUGAAACUUAGGGACUUUACAUGAAAGAGAACAACACAAAGGAAAUAAAAAUACUGUACAUGUAUGUAAAGUAGCCAUGAUUUUAUUUUAUUCUUUCAAAUGUUAAUAUAUAAUAAAGAGUACAAGGAAAACAACAACCUAUUGCAUACCUGAAGAUUAUUAUAUCUGUUGAAACUCUUAGAGCACACAUGACACAAAAACUGAGUAGGACCAAUGAGAAUCUGAGAAGGGGUGGGAAUCCAAUACUGAACCUUGUUCAAUCUAUCAAAAGGGUGUCCAGAAAUCACACUCCUCGCAUCCUCCUUUUCAUUCAUUUGUGCACAAGCUGCAGGGAUCUUCCUUGACCCAUUAAGAUCAUCAGAAGCAGCCACGCUAGGAAGCCCUAUUUGCAGUGCUACUGUCACAGUUUCAGCAUCACCCUCUUCAGUAGUAGUACUAGUCAUCAAAAGGGUCGUCUCAUCCAUGUCCCUUUUCUUUCCUCCUUCCUCUUCAACCAUACCACCACCACUCUUUGAUGGUUCAUUUUUUUCCUUUUGUUUUCUGAGGCUUAUGUUGUUUAUGAGAGGAAGGGCUUCUCUGAGAGGAGGAGAAGGAGGAGCAUAAGAGGAAGAGGUUUCAGAUUGAAUGGCGAAAGUGUUGUUGUUUGAGUAAGAAGAGAAUAAGUUUGAUUGAGAAGUACUAAAAGAAGAGAGGUGAGAAUAGAGGGGCAUGAAGUUGAAGGUUUCAGUGUAUAAAUUGGACUUAGGAUCUGUCAUAGUGAAGGCUUAGAAGGUUUUGGAUCGAUCUUUGGCCAGUAGCUAUAGAGUGGUGUAUAAAUAUAUUGUGAGCAUGUGAAGAGAGAGAGAAAGGGGGAGGGAUAUUGAAAUCACCUUCUUCUAGUUUUUUUUGUCCUGGUCGUCUCAUUGCUUUCUUAAUUAAAAAGUAGUAACAUUUUCUUUAUUGAUAUUAUUACUUUAUUAGAUUUUUUUAGUUAACAUGUGUGAGACACGAAAAAUUACAAAAGCAAAGCAGACAGCUGCAUGAAAUAAUUUUAGUCGUACCAUCAUAAUAACUAAUAAUAAGAUUAAUUUUAUAAGAGUGUAUAUAUUUAUAAUUGGGUAAUUAAGAAAGAAUAAAAAGAAAAAAGAUGGCCGGUUCAAUUUUUUAUUAACAAAAAUUAAUAAAUUAAAAAUUAAUAUUUACCUUUUAAAAAAGUAAGAUUAAUAUUAUAGUAUUUUCAUAAUUUAAGAAUUUUAUCACUCAACAUGAACUAAUUGGUGUGUAAUUAUUUUAGUUUAAUUAGUAAUGUUAAAUUUAAGUGUUGAGUAUAUAUUUGUGUUAAAUAGUCAGAGUAAGAAUUCUAUUAAAUAUUAGUGGGUAAUUUAAGUCUUGAGUUUAAUUAGUGACAUAAUAUUUUUACUUGAACAUGAUUAAAAAUAAAGAAUAUAAAUAAUUUUGUUCAAUUCAAUCAAAAUUACUUUUAAUAAAAAAUAUACUUUACUUUUAAAAAAUUCCUUUUCAUUUUUUCUCUUUUCUCUUUUUUUUUUUUAUACUAAGAUUAAUCCUUAGAUUUCUUCAGAUACCAUAAAUAACUCUUUUUUACACAAGAAUCACAUGCAGGACUUAAAAAUGAAUCAUAUUCCUUCAAUAGACUUUUACUCAUAUAUACAACAAGAAACUAAGUCUGAAUCAGUACACUAAUCAUGUCUGUAUCUGUCAGGCUUGAUCAAGUAAAUUAAAAGUGUUUUGAACCAUAUGGGUAAAUUUAAGGUAAAAGAACUAAAAAUGGAAGCAAAGGUGUGUGUGGAAGUACAUACUCAAGAAAUUACCCCCCUGCAAACCAAUAAGAGUAGUUAAAAGCUACAUGGAAAUCCAAAGAUAGAAUCAUUGAUUAGACAAUGGCUGGUUGUCUCCCCAAGGGAUAGAUAGAGAUGUUGCACCAUCACGUACACAUGCAUACACAUCUACACAAAAGAAAUGUGAGAGAGAACAUUCUGUUAUUUUUUUUAACUUUUUGCUUUUUCUCUUACCCCAAUAAACGGAUAGAUCUUAUUUUAUAUACUUAAUUACCUAGCUACUUCCAGCAUUUGCUUAGUUGGGCGUGUUUAGUGUUUCUUACAUUUGCACGCAUACUCAUACCACUGUUCAUUCUGCCAUUCUCACUUUCUGGCAUUUUGUCUGAUCGGUCAACAAAAUAUCAAAUGCACUAUUGAUUUUGGAGUCAAAGUGUUAUUAUAGUUUGAUAAUUUCUAAAUCACUAAUUCCAUUUUGUUUAUUCCAAGUCUAACCAUGGUUCAUUUUCAAUUGCUGCUCAUGAUCGGAUACGUACUCUCUCUGUUUUCUUAAAUAAAAAAAACUUAAAUUUUUUAUUUUCAAAUGUAAUAAGUAAAAUUUAGCUAUUUUUUUCUUUUUUAAUAAAAUUAUAAUCAAAAUAUUCUAUAUUUAAUAAGAAUAUUAAGUUUAAUAUAAGUUCUAAUAAAGAAUAAUUUUAAAAAAAUAUGUUUUUAAUUAAAAAUGACUUACAAUUUAAUAAAAUAAAUUAAUUUUCUUAUUUUUUCUUAUAAAAAAACAGUGGAGUACUUUUUCUUUUGUAAUAUAUUUUGUUAAUUUUAUGGAACUUCGGUUAUUUUAAUAUUUAUUAUAUUGAAAAUAAGUGUUAAACUAAGUAUUUUUUUUGUAAUAAGUGUGUUAAACUAAGUGUUAAUAUCUUUAUAAAAAAAAUAAGUGUUAAUAUCUUUUGUAAUAUAUAUAUAUAUAUAUAAAAGGUGUUAAACUAAGUAUUUUUUUAAUUUAUAAAAAUAUUUAUUAUAUUGAAAAUAAAAAAAAUUAACACUUAAUUCUUUAUACUUUUAUUAUUCAUAUGCUUUAUCAGCAUGUGAUUUUUUUUACUUAAAUAUAAUUUUGAUCCCUAAAAAAAGGAUCAUUUUGAUUUUUAUUUUUUUUCAAAUUUAGUCCCUAUUAAUAUUAAUAUUUUGGAUUUUAUAUUUUACUAUUAAAUAACAAUAUUAACUGUUAGCAUAAUAAUAAUACUUAUAGUCCAGUGACUUACACACGUCAAUACGUAAUUUUAUACUAAAUUUAUGUGUAACUUUUUUAGUAAAUUUUAUUUUUAAAUUCUUUUCAAAUUUAGUUCUUAUAAAUAUUAAUAUUUUGGGUUUUAUAUUUUACUAUUAAGUAACAAUAACAAUAUUAACUGAUAACACAACAAAGAUACUUAUAGUCCAAUGACUUAGACACGUCAAUAAGUAAUUUUAUACUAAGUUAUGUGUAAACUUUUAGUAAAUUUUAUUUUUAAAUUUCUCAUCAAUUAGUUUGAUAUUAUCAACUGUUUUGAAUAAAUAAAAAUUUAAAAUUAUACUUUAAUAAAAAAUAUGUAAUUAUGUUAUCAGAAUCUUUGAUAAUGUAAUUAGGUUAAAAUUGGAGUUUUAUCUUGAUAACCAGUACAUUAUCUAUUGUGUUGGUUAUUCGAAGUCUAAUUUUAAUUGUAAACAGUAUAAAAGAAUAUCCAAUCUCUAAGCUAAGUUUUAUCCUUUAUUAUAUUGCCACAGUUACCAGAGGAAAACUGCUCUUCAGGCAUCAAAUUAAGGUGGGAUCAAAUUGAAGAGGUUAUGAGUACUCUGAAGAACAACAAUUAUAGAAUAUAAAACCCAUACCAAUAAAUACCAUAUAAUUUGGACGGGAGUGGUAAAUAGCUUUAUUACGUUGAAUCAUACUGAUCACACUACUGUUAAAGGUGGACAAAAACACAACCUGUAGAAAAUGACGUAUACGUUGUCGUUUUAUUCUUAUAAUUCAACUUUGCUCGUAUUCUUGAGAUCACCUCCAGUGUGAAUUCUAUUCCUUCUUCAAAAUGUCCUCAAAGAGAUCGAAGUUUCCAGUGGUAACACGUUUUUGACACGUGGAGCACCUAUUAGGCACAACAUUUGAAGAUAGUAUUAGUUGGCAUGGACACUGUUUGAUGCGUGGAGGACAAAAUCCAAACAUGAAAAUGAGAUGCAAGCUUGAAGAUAGUGGCUGGGAAAAGUAUGUGACAUGAAUUGAACCAGGCAUAGAUAGCAAUGGACAAAUUAAAACUAUAUACUAUGAUUUACUAACUAGUACUAGUACUAGUAAGAGACUAAUUAAUUAAUAUCAUGAAAGAUUUAAGAGAAAUUAACUUUUUUUUCCUACAAAAGUUUAUCCAGUUAAUAAAAAAUGAGACUUGAUGAACCCUAAAUCUAAUUUACUUAAACUUUUAGUUAUAUAUAUAUAGAAAAAUCUGUUUAAACUAGAACUCUUCUAAGUAACACGUAGAAGCCAUAUUCAUGCCAUAGAGCAUCUCAGACGUGGCAGUUGCUAUAACCACUUUAAUUCAAGUCAUGCCAUUACAACCAGUGACGGAGCCCGAACCGAUGAGAAGGACCAAUAUAAAACUUAAAUUGCAUGUAAUAAAUACAUAUUUUUUUUUAUACAAAUAUUAGUAAUUAUAUAAUUAUAAUUGAAUUUUUUAAAAUAAUUAAAUAACCUUAUUGAAUCUUUUAAUAAUUGAGGAAAAUAUUUUAAUUAAUAAAUCAUGUAAUAUUUAUUUAAUUAGUGGAUCAAUCAAUUAUAUAUUUUAGGGGAAAAUCAUUUAAUCAGUUUAAAUUUCGUAUAAUUAUUUUGAAAUUUUUAUGAUUGUUUAAAAAAAUCUGAAUUUGAGGUAGAAAAUGAAUAUAUUUUUAGGGUAAAAUCAAAUCGCCAGUCUCAUUUUCCUAUAAUAAAAAAAUGUGAAUUUGAUUUAUUUUAAGAACUAAUUUAUUUUAUGAUUCUUUAUAAUUGUCUCCCAUUUUCUUAUUACUGAUUAGGGAAAAAUCAUUUUUCCAGUCCCAAUUUCCUAUAUUAAAAAAUGUGAAUUUGGUUUAUUUUAUGAUCUAGUUAAUUUUAUGAUUAUUUAUAAUUGUCUCCCAUUUUUCGUAUAAUUAAUUAGGGAAAAAUCAUUUCUUCAGUCCCAAUUCCGUGUAAUUAUUUUUAAUUUUUUUGAAGCAAUUUUUAAUUUUUUAUGAUUGUUUACAAAAACUGUAUUUAAGGUACUUUGCACUGAAACUUUUUGCACUUUUAUCUCAAAAGAGCAGGGGACCAGAAAACCCUUGCAUUUAGAAUGGUAGUACUCAAGAAGACCAACAAUUAUCAAUCAGAAUUAGAAAAUUAGAAAUUGAAUUAGGAAGAUUAAGGAUAAAGUGUUUUUAAUAAAAUAUUAAAUUAAAAACUAAAAUAAAAAGUAUAAAAUUUGUUAUGAGAUCUUAGUAAUUUAAUUGAUUGGUGUAAUUAUGUAAUUCCCAUUAUAUUUUAUAAUUGGACAAUACAUAAUAUAUAGCAGUGUUGUGAUUUAUUUUAAAGUUAGAUCAAAGUAACGGUUCAAUAUUUUAUUCUUUUGUUGGGGUUGAUAUUAUUUUCGUUUUAGCUCCUUGCAUCAUAUUAUAUUUCUAUCAUCAUAUUGAAUCAACGAAAAGGACAUUCAUUUUAUCCUAAUUCAAAAUUUCCUUACAGAUAUAAAAUUCAAAAUAACUAAAUUUAGAAGAAAUGAUUUCGCAUUCACUAAAUGUUAGCCUCCUCACACUCAAGUAGACUUCUUCUUAAAAAACACAUAUGAUGAUCAGGGUUAAUAAUAAAGAGCUUAAUUUUCCUAAAGCAAAAAAAAAAUCAUGUUUAUAACAAAACAUUUCAAUUAAUUUUUAAUUUUUUUAAUAAUUGAAAAACUUAUUUAACUGUUCCAGAAAUAAAUUAUUUUAAUACACUUCUUCUUAAGCAACGGUUCAAUAUUUUAUUCUAUCUUUUGUUGGGGUUGAUAUUAUUUUCGUUUUAGCUCCUUGCAUCAUAUUAUAUUUCUAUCAUCAUAUUGAAUCAACGAAAAGGACAUUCAUUUUAUCCUAAUUCAAAUUUUCCUUACAGAUAUAAAAUUCAAAUUAACUAAAUUUAGAAGAAAUGAUUCCACAUUCACUAAAUGUUAGCCUCCUCACACUCAAGUAGACUUCUUCUUAAGAAACACAUAUGAUGAUUAGGGUUAACAAUAAAGAGCUUAAUUUUCCUAAAGAAAAAAAAUUAUGUUUAUAACAAAACAUUUCAAUUAAUUUUAAUUUUUUUUAAUAAUUAAAAAAAUUAUUUAACUGUUCCAGAAAUAAAUUAUUUUAAUAGAUUUUUAGUAGCUAGCUUUUAGCAAAAAUCACUUAUAAUUUAAUUAGUUUUUUAACUUUCACCUUUCAACUAGCUUUAUAGUUUUCAGUAUUUCUUGCUUUCAUCUAGUUUUUUUAGUUAGUUUUGCCUAAUAUAGUUUAAAAUAAUUUACUUAUACUAUUUUUAUUUAUCAAAAAUUAAAAAUAGACAAACCUUGUUAUUUUGGAAUCCUACCCAAAAAUAGUUAUGUCUUAACUAAUUCCAAUUGUUCAUAAAUAAACCUUUUUUUUUUAUUUUUUCUUCAUAAUAGAUAAAAAAAACUGUAUUCUUCAUAAGGGUUCAUUUUCAUCACGUAUCCUUAAUUAAACAAUUAAGCAAAAAAAAAUUCAAUAACAUUUUUCUGGUACUUUGAUCUUCCUAAUUCCUUCUAAAAGAAGAAAAAAAAAAUUAAAACAACACUAUAUCAAGAAGAAGUAAACAUUCUAGUUUAUCUAAAACUGAUGAUUCAUCCAACAAAAUUUUAUGAAAUCUAAUAUUAUUGUGUAUUGAAACGGAACAAAUGAUCGUGAGACAUCUAUCAUACUUUCAUCCUUUUGGAUGUCAAAAGAGAUCAAUAACUAAACCAUUGUUGGUGCAUGCAAAAGCAUCCAGUUUACUAGUAGAACCGAUUUCUAUUUCAUAAAUUCUGUUUUAAAAUUAGGGUUUAUCUAUGAAAAGAAGUUUAAAACUUUCCAAUUAAUGUUUCUUAGAUGUCAGCAUCGCCCUAAAUAACCUAAACCUUGCCGCCACCUAAAAAUAAAAAAAUAUCCUAAACCUACAUAUUUUGCUAAAGGAAGAUGACAAAUAAGUCAGCUAGCUAGCAUCAUAUUACUAGGAAAAAAUUAUAUAAUUCUCAUUAAGAACAAUUAAAAUCGUCAAAAAUAGAAGGUUUCUUGGAUUUUCUUUUGCGUCUAGGUGAGCCCACAAGUGUCUCUUUGGAUGGGUCAUCUAAAUGAAUUCUAGACGAGGAAGAUUCAAAAUCAACACAGAUCUGAAUGCGAGAACUCAAAGAUUAGACGAUUAGCAACAGAGUCAUUUUCUUGAAGAAUGUGGCCAUUAAGGAUAAGUAUUAGCUGGGAGACCGGAAUUUUUUGUAUUUCUCCACGUUGUUUUUUAUUUUUUCUUUGACCUUUUCGACGGUCUCGGAGAAUCCCAUUAUCAUGGAGAAUGCUCUCCCUUGUUGAGGCUCCAAAAUUAUCUCCAUGUUCACUAUUGUGAAUUCUGCAUGUUGUGAAAUAUGCAAUCCACUAUGAGGUCAUAUAUAUAUAAUAAAAACUAUAUAGUCACAAUUGUAACGAUAGAAAAUAAAUAAAUAAAUAAAGUAUGACAAGAUUCCUCAUAACCUUUCACCGUAUAUAGAUACAUAGAUUUGAGUAGUUGAAUUUUAUUAAAAUUUCAUAUUAUUGGUUUAUUUUUUGGGGGUAACCGGGGAAUUUAAGUAUUUGAUCACUGAUUUGAUUUAUAUAUUGAUUAUUGAUGUUAAAUAAUAAAUCACAAAAAUAAUAAUACUUACAUUUCUUCUAUCACAUUAAAUUAAAUUAAAUAAUGUGAUAUGUGUAAAUCAUCAUUAAAUUAAAAUAUAAUUAUAUUAAUUUUUGAGAUUUUCAAAAUUAAAAUUUCUGAAAUUUGCAACAGGAUUUGAUGGUUAUUAUAUCCUAUAUUGACUACCAAAUGAGUCCUAAAAGAUUCUAUAAGUAUCUUUUAAAUUGUCAUAAUUCUACUUCUCCCAAAUAGUUUGAAUAAUAGAUUUUUUUUAUUUAUCUUGAUCACAUGUAUCUUAUAUGCAAUCCUAUUUAAGUCAAGUAUGAUCAUCAUAGAAGCUAAAAUUCUUCUUUCAAGUAUUCAACUCAGUUGCAUAUUUUUUGAAUUUGAGAUCCCUAAUCAAACUGAAAUAAUUUCACUUCAGUUGGAUAGUUCAGAUUGAAGAGUAAUUUGUCACUUAAGUGAAAACUAGUUCCUCUUCUAAACUCAAAUCCCAAACAUAUUUACAUAUUUAUUUAAAUUAAUUUAUAUAUAUUAUUUAUUAUUUUAAAUACUUUUAUUUAUAUCUAUUACAUUUUACUUAAAAUAUUGUCUAUACGCAUUAUACACUUUUCUUGUUGUAUAUUUAGUUAAGAAAAAGCUAAAGAAAUUAAAUAUUUGUUAUUUACUACUAAUUAUUGUAGAUUUAAUGAACAUCUUCACACCUAUUACACUCCAUUAUAAAUUUUCAAAAGAAUAUAAGCUUAAAUUUCAAAAGAAUACAGGCCUAAACAAGGGCGGAGUAAAAAAUUUGAUUUGAGGGGAGCCAAAAAAAAAUUUAAUAAAUAAAAUUUAAAUUUUUACAUGCAUUAAAAUAUAUAAAAAAUUUAAUAUUAUAUAUAUAUAUAUCUAAUAUUUUUUAUAAAUAAAAAAGAUAACUACAUCCGGUAUAAAAAUAAUAUUAUCUUUAAUUCUUUAUAUAAAAAUUAAUAGAUACAUUUUUAUAGCUCUAAUUAUAGAAAUAUAAAUAUAUUUUCCAAUAUGUUAAUUAUACAAAAUGAUCAUUUUAAUCUUUUAUCUUGUUUAUUUUGUAAAAAAAUAAUCUUUUAUGUUUUAAAAAAAUCAUUCUGUCCCGAUGUUUUAUAGAAAUAUAUCUUUUUAUAUUUAAUUACAACACACAUUAGCAUUAACAAUAUAUAGAAAUGCAUGUUUUAUAUUUAAUUACAACACAUUAACAUUUAAAUAACUAUGUUACUUAGACACGCAUGUAUGGAUCGAUAAUCGGAUUAGCAUGCACAGCACAUGUGAAUUAGCAAUCCCAGAAACUACUCCUGAUGUUUUACAGAUGCCAUCAUUAUGAAUAGACGAAAUUUCGUUUUGAGCCGAAAAUGUUGGCUGUGUGUACAGAUGCUAUAUUCCCGCUGCUAUAACCUCAAGUUUCUCUCAGUUCCUCAGGAAUUGCUGGUGUAGUUGUUACCACCACAUCCAUUAGCUUAGCGUGAAACAUAUAUCUAGGCACUUCAAUUCAAAAGGAUAAGUUGAUGAAUUUUGUACCCAAAAAGGAGUAUGCGUGACAUUACCUUUUUAUUUUUAUAACUUUGUAUCGGUUGGAGAUUCAAUAUUCAUUAGUGAUAUAUUUAAAUUAAGUAUAUAAGUAGGGGUUAAUACUAUCAUUUUAUAAGUUAAUUUUAUAAGAUUGAAUUUAACUCAUAAUUUACAUUAUAAAAUAUUAAAGUCUAUUAUACCAAUUAUUAUUGGAUCCAUCAAAUCAUCUAUUGUUAAAUCGUUAUCAAAUCAUCCGAAGACAUCUAGUCUUCAACAUGAUAGAGUGUGUUGAAGAUUUCACAACAACUAAUAAUAUCAGAUCAUCCACUAUAAGGUCAUUAUCGGAUCAGAUCAUCUCUAGAUAUCUAGUCCUCCAAUUUUCACCCUCAACAUGUCUACUCCUCGACUUGAUGGGAUAUGAUGUUAGAGAUCUCACAUUGAUUAGUGAUUAAAUUAAAAUAUAUAAUUUAGAGACAAUAACUUUUACAUUAUAAAUCAAUUUUGUAGAGAUCAAUUUUGUAGAGAUGAAGUUAGGCAUAAAUCCAAAUUCUAAGAUGGUAUGAAGAUUUAUUUUAAAGAUUAUUGUUGGAUUUAUUUGACCAUCUAUUAUUAGGUUGAGAUUAACUUUCAAAUGUAUGACUAGCCUAAAAAAUUUAAUACUCAAGAUGUUUAGUUCUCAACAUGAGGAUGUUGUAGUAGAUAUCCUACAUAGGUUAGUGAUAUGAUUGAAUUAAAGUAUGCAUGUGAGAGAAAUUCUCAUCUUAUAAAUUUGUUUUGUAGAGUUAAAUUAGAUCAAACUUGCAAAUUCUAAAAUGCUAAAAAAAAAUCUUGAGUUUAUAACUUUUCAAAUUAACUGUAUAAUUUUUCUCUUUUUUUCUCUUGCUUAAUAGAAAUCUAGCUAGUAUAUUUUUUUUUCGGGAUACAAGAUAGAGAUUUUGAAUUGUGAGUGAAGAUUAGUGGGUGGUUUAAAGAGCAAGAAUGAGAUGGCGACCACGAAGAAGAAAAAGGUGACAAACGGAGAUAAAAAAUAAGUCACGGAAAAAGUGAUGUUUUCAAUAAAGAAUACACAUUCAUUUUAAGAAUGAGAUGCGAUAACGAAAUGUAUGUAAAAACUAUAAAAAAAAAUCACAUUUAUUACAAAAUUAUAUAUAAAAAAAUAGAUUUUUAUCACAUGUUUUCAACCAAGAAUACAAAUAGGUACUCUCUACAAAUCAACAUCUACGUUAUUGAUUCAAAUAAAAUUAAGUUAAAAUUCUUUAAGAAAUAUCUCAUUUAAAUUUUGUAAAUUAAAAAAACAUAAUUAGCAAGAAAGACAUGUCUCUACAUAAUGUGCUUGAAAAAAAAUUAUAUUUUUUUUAUUAAUUUUCUUUUAAAAAAAGAAACAUCACACUUUUAUUGUUAUUUUUUUUCAAGAUUAGAGAAGAGAACCGUAGCAAAAAGAAAAAAUACAUUGUCUCUAGCUUUAGUUUGUUGUGUCUCCCUUAAUAUAAGGGAAAGCGAUGGAACAUUGGAGAGGCAGAAAAGAUUGCAGAAAACUUGUAUAAAAAACUGGCCAUAAGUGUAUGUAUGUGGGUUCAUGUGACAUUGACGUAUGAAGAACAUUGCAUGGGGAUAUCAACGGAACCAUGAUUGGAGAUUACUAUUCACAAAACGUCAUGAUUCUCUUGUCAGUGUUAAAAUAUAUAUUGUUCUAUUUAUUUUUUGUGCGGCUAUGCUCUUUAAGUUAAGGUAAUGGCGUGAGAAAAUGAACGAUGGAUGAGUUUCUCUUUCAAUGGCUUGUCUUUACCCUAUUUCAAGUCUCAACAUCAUCAGAAGCUUCAAGGAAAUUAAAUUUCGUGCUAGCUUGCUUGAAAGGUACUAUACGUUGAUGGAGAAACAAAAAACAAAGAAAAUUGUCCUCAUUAUAAUUAGUAAUUACCUAAGGUAAUGUAAGUCUGUCCUAUUGAAAUAGUGCACCAAUGUUUUGGUUUCUAAUUGUUCAAGACUUCUGUUCAACUAUAACACAUACAAAUGAUUAUUUACUUGGUCAAGGACAAAGUGAUUAUUUAGGUGUUGUUUGUUUAUUGUUUAUAAAAACAGUUUUCUGUUUUUUAAAAUUUGUUUGUCCUCUUAACACAUUAUUUGAAAGUAUUUGUUCUUUUGAGUACAAUUUUGUUUUCUAAGAAUUUGUCCUCUUAUACUAGAACAAAGCAUUAAAAGAAAAUUAGAAGAAAAUGACUAGAAAACAUUCAUCAAUUGUUUAUAUUUAUUAGUUUUAAAAUACUUGUUUUGGUUUCAAAACAUAAUAUAUUUUAUAUCAAAAAUUGAUAAUUAAGUAGUAUUGAAUUGUUUUUUAUUUAAGUUUUUGAAACAAAUAUAAGAAGAAAAUCAAAUAGGAUCUUAUUUUUCGGGUCUGUGAAAUGCCUAGUUUUACACGAGAGUAAACACCUAAUUACACAUCAUUUCUAAAGAAUAUAUAAGAAUAUAAAAAUAUUGAUCAUUUUAGUUUAUUUCAGAUACAACGUGUCUAAUAUUUAAAGAUUAAUAUAAGGUCAUUUAUGAUUUCUGAAACCUAAUGUAAUUUUUUUGAAAUUAUUACACGCUAAGAUGUCCUAUAUAUGUAUGAUACAUAUCCCAUACCAGUAUCCCAGUUUCAAAGUUUUACUCCACGAGUGAGCACGAUGUUAUUUGUAUAAACUAUUCAUUGACAAUUAUUAAUAUUUAUAAAAGAAUUUGAAUGAUCAUCUUUAUCUUCAGGGGAAUUUCUCAUCGAAACCAAGAUUUUUCAAUUCACAAUGCUUAAGAUAUUCUUAUUUAAGAAAUUUGAGGCAAGUUUCGGUUGGACCAUAUGUUAGUAAGAGUGAGUUUCUUUGAUGAACUUAAAAACAAAUAUAUAUAUAUAUAUAUAUAUAUAUAUAUAUAUAUAUAUAUAUAUAUAUAUAUAUAUAUAUAAAGAAGACUAAUAAAAAGUUUUGGAUUAAAAACCAUUGGUUGUUUUGUUUUUUAAAAUUUAAUUUAAGAAUAUUAUGAUAUUUUAUUAUUUAAUUUUAAAAAAUUAUCCUAAUUUUUUUUUCAUGAUUCUCUCUUAUAUAUGAAAAAUAUUUUUAUUUUUUAAAAAUUAAAUGAUAAAUGACGAUAAUUUUUUUAAAUUAAAAUUUAAAAAAUAAAAUAUUCAAUAAUCUUUUAGUCAUAUCCUUUUUGUAGCAGGAACGCAUUAACAACCAAAACACCAUAAAAUUUGGAAAAAAAACUCAAGUUCUCUUCUGAUUUUAAUUAAUUAAUUUUAAAGUUAUUAUAGUAAAUCACACUUUUAAAUCUUGUUCUCUUUUAUUAAUGACAACUAUUUUUUUUCUCUCCUUAUACUUUAAACCAUUACAAUUAAUCAAGGGAUUAAUAUACUGAAAUUAAAAUUAAAAUUAUUUAAGAAUUAUUCGAAUUUAAUAUUUAGUAAAAAUAAUUAUUCAUCAAAUUUUAUUCAUCUCUCAAAAUUUCAAAUUAAUAAAGACUUAUUUCAGUCAAAGGAUGAAGACAAUCUUGAUAUAGUAAUUACCACAAUCUCAUCUUCGUCUGCAAAAUCCGUAGGUCACGACCAUCCUGCUGCACCAUUGUACCACCACGCAAGUGCAAGUGUGCAACUUCACCUUAAUUGCACCAUGAUCACAGUACCACCACCCUAACGGAUGCCGAUCUCCGAACAAGUACAAUCGGAGCAAAAUGAAAACCAAGCAAUUGGUAAAGCUCACCAAAAUGAAUACAGACAUUGAUUAUCAACACCUCCAAUUUGAAAAAUUUGUAAAUUUGAUUAUUAACCAUAAUAGCUAAACCUACCAAUAAAACAAGCAAGAUAGAGGCAUAUAGGUUUUUUUUAUAAUUAUUUUAAGGCUACAUAAAGUUAUUUCACUAAAGGCAUCUUGACCUUCAUAAACAAGAAUUACGAAGCAAAUUAAAUAGCUUGUGGUUGUGACGAUUAUCAAGUUUGAAGAGAGACAAGGAUGAGGUUUAAAUUAUUAAUUGUAGUGGUUAAUUAGAGAGAAAGAGAAAAUUAGUUGUAGAUAAUAAGGGAGAGAACAACAAGGUUUAAAAGUGUGAUUUCUAUAUUAAUCUUAAAAUGAAUUAAUUAAAAUAGAAGAUAGGUUAGGUUUUUUUUUUUCAAGUUUUAUGGUGUUGAUUGUUAAUGCAUUUAUACUAAAAAAAGAAUACAAAGUAUAACUAACUCCUGUAUAAGACAUCAUUUAAAUUAAAAUCGAACCAAUGAUCAAUUUGGUCAAGGAAUUAUAUCAUCGUAUCAGUAAUUGAACCAAUAAAUUACUUAUUGAAUUACAUAAUCUAGGCUUUAAUUAAAAGAAUUAAAAGUUUUAUGUCUUAAAAAAGUAAAAAAAUCACAUAACAAAUUAAUACUGAUAUAAUUUCACAUAUUAAUAUAAAAUUUUAUUAUUAUUGAUAAUAUUUAGUUUAACAUAUAAUAUGUAUGAUAUAUUAAAUUAAUAUUAUAAAUAAUUUUGUAUGAUAUAUUAUUAAAUUUGUCAAAUAUAUAACAACUUAUUAUGUUGGGUUGGUGGUAAUAUAUAUAUAUAUAUAUAUAUAUAUAUAUAUAUAUGAAAAGAAACUAUCUUAUUUAUAAGAGUGAUAAAAUUAAAUUUAGACUGUAUAAUAAAAAAUGAAUGAUCAAGAUUUAAUGUUAUACGAUAGUUUUAAAAUUAUGUGAUUUUUUUGAUAUUAAAUUUUAAGUUUUCGUGUAUAAUUAUAUAACUUAAAUUUAAUUUUUAUAUUUUUAUAUUAAAAAAAAUUUCUCAUAAAAUAUGUCUUUAUAUGUAUAAAUUUAAUAAUUAAUGAAUCAUAAUCCAUCGUGUAUAAUAAAUUUAUUAAUUUUUAAAAUAAUUAUUAUAAAUUAAUUCAAACAAUAACAUAUAAUUAAAUUGAGAGUGAAUAGCCAUUGAACUCCCUCUAUAUUAGUUUUGGCACUUGUUUACUAUACCACUAUUGUAGAUGAGAUGGUAAUUAUAUUUUAAGAAGGUCGAUCAAAAGAUUAUGGUUGGAAUUGGGAUAUAUAGUGUGACUUGCGUCCAGUAUUUUUAUUUUGGUUGAAGGUAAAGGUUGUGCACGUGAACGGGUCCUCGUUGACUGAGCUGAUAGUUGGAUCAAACGGGUUGGUCCUUGGGUUUUCCUCCGUUAAAACUAUGCUACAAGACUGCCAUGAGAUGGCUUUGAUGUGAGCUAUGACACCCCAAAACUCUGCCUUCCAUUCCUUGAAGAUGAUCUUAUUUAUUCAAAUACUCCAGCAUGUCGCGUGCCAGAAGAUAUAUAUAUAUAUUUCAUAGGUUUGGCCUAGUAGGGAUUUAACGGUCAUGCAUUUACAAUAUAUAAAAUAGUUUUAUACCAUCAAACAAUAAAAAAUAAAUAUUAUAAAAAUUAAUAAAUUGAACAUAAAUAAUAUUUAUCAUCAAAUAACAAUUUAAAAUGAUUCUAUACUAUAAUACAAGACCGUUAAAUCCUAAAAUUAGGUAAUAUCUUAAAAAAUAGGUUAUGCGUGUUAAAUCUAUUGUCUUAUACCUGAUUUCAUGCAUGCAUGUCUUGCUGCUAUAAUUAUAAAUUGUCUCUAUCAUUUAAAAUACAGUAAAGAAAGUUAAUUCAUAACAUAUUGUUGCCCGCAAAUAUAUAUAUAUAUAUAUAUAUAUAUAUAUAUAUAUAUAUAUAUAUAUAUAUAUAUAUAUAUAUAUAUGAUAUGUCCCAACGACUUGAAUUUUUUAGAUCUGUCACUUUAUUACCUUUACUCAACGCUAUUUGAACGUCUAGUCUUCUAUGCAUGCCUUUUCAUAAUACAUUUAGUCUAAUGAAUAGAGUUGCUUCAGGCCUAUGAUAGAUUUUCCAACAAAUUAAUUUAUCAGAUGAGAUAGAUGCAGAGCAUUAAAGAAAGACAACUUAUUAAUUAGGAAAUAUUGGAUGUAUGGCAAACCAAAAUUGUUCAAUUUUUAUCUGUGCAAGUCCAAAAAAAGUGUAGGCAUGGGCAUGGCUUCUACUGUCUGUAUGAAAGAAGAUAGCAACAUUCUUGAGCGAGUAUCCCAUGCAAAGAUUGGCAGAAAAUGAACCUUGAAAUGAAAGCAUUAGUGCAAAGGUGAUAGAGACAUGCAUCUUCCAUUCACUUCAAGGUCAAUUUAAUAACUUUGUUAUGGAGGCAUCACAUAACGGUGAUCAGAGAAGGAAAUUAAUAACUCAUAAUUAUAUGUAAGAUCGAUAUGUGAAAACAAAUAUAAAUAUCUGCAUCAUAUAUAGUUCACUGUAACUCAAACUAUAGAAUAAGAAAAUAAAAUAAAUCAUAAUUAUAUGUAAGAUAUGUAAAAAUUGACAAAAUGAUACAUGAAGACUUUUAAUAUAUAUAUAUAUAUAUAUAUAUAUAUAUAUAUAUAUAUAUAUAUAUUUAUUUGACAUUUUUAUCACAUCAUAUCACCUAUAAAAAUAGAAGGAGAUCCAACUCAAGAAUUGGAUGUAUGAGUUUUUAUAUAUACCUAAAUUUGAUCUCUACGAUCAAAGAAAAAUCACCAUUAAUAUUAUAAUACAUGCAAUUCUCUUUUUUUAUCUCUUUUUUUUCCUGGUGUCUAUUAUUAUUAGCAUGUAGCAAGGUAUUCACAGAAACAUUAUUCAAAAUAUCAAACUAAUUAAUAAAUGGGGAAUGCAUUUUUUCUGUCACGAGUGGAAGAAUUUAGUUACCGACACCUAAAUAACACUUUUGCCCUUAAAGAUAAAUUGGCAUAUCCCGGAAAUCCAGAGAAAAAUUGACCCAGAAGUUAUGAAGCUUAAAGAACAAGCAUUACUACGAUUGGGUGGUGUUGCGGCAAUGGGGCCAUACAUUUCCUCUGCACAAUACUAAUGGUAGGGGGUCCUUAUUCUUUGAUUUUGUGUGAAAGCAGAGAAUAUUCUUAAUGUUGCUUUACUAUGACAAAUUCUUAUAUACACAACUUGACCUAUCAAUGUAAAGAAAUUAUUCCAUUUUCAACACAACUGAGCCAAAAUUUCUAUGAAAACAAAGUGAUGGAAAUCAAUUGAAGGUGCUAAAGUAAAAACCUUAAACAGUGGAAAUUACUUUUAGAUUUAAUAUUUUCUUUAUUGAACAGGACUGUCCAAUUUAAACUUGGAAUAGGGUGUGUGAUGUUGCAAGUGGAACUAGAACAAAAUGUCAAAUGGGUUUCUGUAGUACUUGAAAAUUCAUGUAGCAAUGCUGUUUCCAGAAGAGGGCGAUAUUAUCUCAUUACAACAAGGAAUGGUAAGUGAAGAGGGAAAUUACAGAAAUAAAACAUUUUCUUAUCAAAAAAUUAUAAAGAAUAAAUUGAUACUUUGUAAUGAUAUUUAUCUAUAUUAAUUCGUAUAAAUUCAGUAUACCAUCAUUCUUCAAUUUUGAUUUAAGACACAUGACCCUCAAAAAAGAGAUUUCUUCAACUAAUUUCGUUAUAGAUUUCUUGGAGUGAAAUUUAGAUGUAGAGGGAAUUAAUAAAUAUAAAUUUUGAAGGAGCAAAUUGAUGUAUAAUUCAAUCUUUCAAUUUUCAAUAUCAAAAAAAUCAUUUACCAAGUAAAAAAAUGUAGAAUAUUACAUUGACAUGGACAUAGCUAGAUCAUGGGUGUGCGAAUAAAAGGUCUUGGGUUCAGUUUCUUAAUUUAAAUAAAGAUUCAGGAAAGGUUGUUCUACAUAAAUAUUGUCAAGUUCAAACCAUAGAGAAAGGACAACGUACAUAAACAAAUUAAAGACUUUUGGGCUAUUAUCCUGCCCUCAAAACUCUCAGAAGCUUCAAUUCAUAUAUCUUUUUCUCUCUUGUUUUCCUGAGGUUAUGUCACAGAAUAUUUACUAGUGGUCAACACAGCAUUGUUGGCAAGAUCCAUGAGGUUUCAUGGUGGUCAAGUAUAUAUAAUUGUUAUGAAUGAUGAGACAGUUAUAGCAUCAUGAGAAGAUAAAAUUCUUCAUUGUGUUGAUUAGGUUUUGAAACGUACACCUUCAAGUUGCAGCAUAUCCUUAGGAGGCUUUAGCUUUAAUAUAUAAGCUCGGGAUUCUAGAUUUGAAAACAGUGCUACUUGUCAUAAUUUCCCAGUGAAGUUUACUUGUACCAAUGCUUACAAUUCUUCUACAUAUUUUUAACACUUGAAUAUGACUUUACAACUUUCUGGUUCUAUUUAGAUUCUUACAAUCUUUUAAAUGCUACUUAAUUUAGUGCUUUAAAAAAACAUCUCCUUGAGAAUUAUCAACUUCAUCUACGGGCCAAAACAAAAUCCAUGACAUUUAAACAUUUCUGCCCAUGUCCAAAUUGAUUUCCAAGCUCCCCACAAAUUUUGUUAAGUCUAUUCGUGAUCAUACGGAAUGACUAAACCUGCUCAAUUAAGGAUUUCCAAAACAUCUCUUUGAAAAAACCAGUCCAGAAAAGUUGCCCUAGAAAUGAAGAGCAUGGAUGCUGUGAUAAUUGUUGUGCAACUAUUCCCUAAUAUAUGUAAAUAUGUAAUGCAUUGUGACGAAAAUAAAAAGCUGAAAUUUCUGCUCAAGAAAAGAUCUAUCAAUUAUGGCCUAGUUAAUUUGAAUUUAUUUCAAACUUAUGUGAACUUCUCUAGGGGAAGAAUGUCGAGUUCUAUAAUGUUUAUAGGUGUUUUUUUGGUACAUAUAUAAUGGUGAUUGGUGCUUAUAGAAUAGAUGAUAAAAUGAUUGUAAUUAACUAACUAGUUUUCUACAUGUGCAAUGUGCGCAAUUUAUUUUAAUUUUAACUUCAUUUUUAAUCACAGAAAAUAUAAACAGAUUAAUAUGUAAUAAUAUAAAAAAAAUAAGAUAAAAUAUAAAAUGAAAUUGUAUAAAUUACAUUAUAUAAUUUUUUUAAAAAAUAUUUUUUUACAAUGUUUAUUAUUGCCGAACAAUUUUAAUUUUCUUUAAUACAAUAUAUUUAUGCAAUGCAUGAAAUAAUUAAAAAUAUUUUAUUUAUGAUGUUAGCAAAGAAAUUAUUUAAAACUAUUUUGCAAUAUAAAUAUAUUUAAUGAAUCAAUUAUGUAAUUUUAACAAAUCUCAUAUAAAAUAUUACAUGAAGAGAAUUUGUGAAUUAUAACUAAAUAAAAUAUGGAUAUAUUUUAUAAUAUAUAUGUAGACAUCAAAAUGAAUAAACUGUAUGAUUUUCACAGAUAAAAAAAAAAAAGAUUAAUCCUUGAGUGUUCUGAGUCCGUAGACUACCCUUGCCUAACUACCAAAAAAAAUAACUAAAAUAAAGUUCACAAUACUAUUACUAUUUAGAACAAUUACAAAUGGUAGCCAAAUUACAUGGAAAGAGAAGGGAGGGGCUGAAGCUCUUAAAUAUGCGAAUUUUCAGUUUUCUAAAUUGUCGAGGAUGGUGUCACAACAAGAAGGUUUCAAGGUUUUGUUUUGGUCUUGCCCAUAUGCUGCAAUUAGUAAAGCCUCUGCCCUUCCUGAAACAAUACAAAUUCAUUAAAACCAAAGCACGUUCAAAAGGUGUAUAGUAACAAACAGGAACCAAUCACCACGAACACUCUUUUUCAACAAAAUUUCAGAAAUGGAGAGUGCAUUUAGAAGAAAACCUACUACUAGGGCUCAAUGGAUGUUUGAAAUCUUAUAAUAUAAGUAAUCUGAAUAGAUAACAGAACCAUGUAUUGGCUUAAAUUAUAUGAAAUCAAGGGGUUCCAGAUUAAUGGAUCCUUGAAUUGGGUAAUAAAGCUCUUAAGUUCAAUAAUGAAUAAGAGAAAUGCCUAAAACACAUUCUGAUACACCUUUCAACACUUUAUAUUAUUGGGUGACAUAUCAUAUUGGGGAGUGGGGACUAAAAAUAACCCAGGAAGGUUCACUGUUUAUUAGUAGGGUCAACAUAAAAUCUUAGCUUAUUAUAGUGUUCAAAAUAAAAUGUCAAAGUGUUUUCCUAUCAUUUAUCUGAUGAAGAAUAUAUUACUAUAUAUGCGGGCACAAGCACGAAAGACCAUUCAUUCAUUGGAUAAGCUUUUGGAUAAGUGGGAAUUCCACAACUUUGUAGUAGAAAAGAAAUAAAUUUGUUGAAGUUAAUGCUACCAAGGAUCAAAUGUCAUUUGUUUAUGGACAGGGAGUGACUACUAACACUAAUAGUUUCUACUACAAACUAUAGCUUUUUUGGGUUCGCAAUCAACACAAUUUACCUAAAUAAAAUAAAAAAUUUGUAGCUGCCCUCUCCCCAAAUAAAAGGAAUCCAAUCAAAAGCUGCAAUAUGAUCCACAAUAACAUGACACUGGAGGAACCUUUCCAGUGAUUUAAUACAUCAUAUAGUACUGGACUACAAGCCCUUUGAUAAAUUGUAGGAUCUUUAAAAUUUUAACAGCGAAAUUUUAAAAUGUGUAAAAGCAGCUUACGAUUUCUAGCAUUUGGAUUAGCUUCAUUAGGCAUUAGCAUUCCCAUUCUAGUACAUUUUGAAGAUAAUUUAUGAUCAAAUAACAUGGUAGUCAAUUAAAUAACAUGCAAAACAAGAGAAGUACCAUGAUCUUUUUUCCUACUUAGCAUGGAAGUCAUUGAAGGAAAUAAUGUAGAUGCAAUUCUCCUGCUAUCAUCCUGCAUUAUAAAAUGUCCAAAAGCUAUUAAAAACCAAGAAGAGUCAACAAUAUUUAGGAAAUACCAUGUAGAGAAAGCAUUGCAGAAUAUACAGUAAAUGCUCAAAUUUCCUUUAAGGAUGUUGAGAGAUAGUAUACGUUGAAAUUUUUGGGUUUUAGGUAGAGGGAGGAAAAGUUACUGAAAUAUGAGAAAUGUUAAAAAACUCUUUUGAACAAACUAUCUACUAUUGGCUAAAAUUUAUUGGAAAUUUCAAAUUUUUGUUGGACUCAUUUCUUGUUUAACGAGUCUCUCAUGGAUUUGUAGUUUUCAAUAAUUUUUAACCAAUAAUAGAGUGUGUUAAAAGGAGUGUGUUAGAGUGUUACUAGCACUCCUCAUGUAUCAUUGAAUUCAUAUUAACUGAGAUGUAUUACAAUGUGUUGAUCUAUUAUUUGAUAUGUUCAAAAAACCUAGAGCACUAACCUUUAUUUUCAUUAAUAAAAAUCCUAGCUAACUUGAAAAAAGAAUAAUCUAUGAUAUUCUAAGAUAUGAUAAGUUAUUUUCAUAUAAUUUAACACACCCUCAAUCUAAAGCUUACGAAGUUUUAAGCUUAUUACAAAUAAACCCCUUUUCUUUUUAUCUUUUUGCAAUAAUGUGGACUCCAUCCAAAAGACAAGGAAACUCUGAGACGAAAAGCUGAAGACAUCAGGGAGAUUCGGAUAGGGUCAGACUAAAAUUAGUACAAAAGUUGGGGCAAGAUCACAUCUGAGAUAAAAACAAAUGCUGAGGUCAGAUCUAUUGAUUGAGACAAAGACCAAUGUGGCCAAGACAAUUUUCUGGGGCUUCUGGUCUGAAUCCCUAGAAUGACCGCAGGGCAAAGGAUGAUUCACUGGGACUGCCAUGGGACCAAAGUGCUUUGAGAUAGACUAAGGUAGUGUCUGGGACAAAAGACAAGGCUAGACACCUUUCUCCUUUCUCUCCCUCAAAACUAGAAUCAUGUGUCUUAAAAGGAAAAAGGAAGUGAGUUUGCCAGUUGUGACUACAAAGAACCUCUAACAUGCUGCCAAAAACCAAGGCUCCCAUAAGACCCAAACAACAGCAUUUGCCCACAAACAAACAAUAGAACCAGCAGCAUAAAAGAGCUGACAACAAGAAGGCAACACCAGUGAGAACAAUAGUAAAAAAUAUCCAAGAGAUGAAUCAAAAAAGGAACUCGCAAAUUACAAGUGGUCAUCAAAAUCAGACCAGGGGAGGCUAGCAAACUCAACAGGACUGAAGGCAGUGGACAGAGCACAUGCAAUGGCAAGGGAAACCAGAGACAAAUAAUGUGUGUAGUCUUAUGAAGACUCUGAUGACUGUGAAUGGAGAAACUUGCAGGGAUAGGGCAUAGAUGACAUGGUAAGACAGAUCAGAUUAUGACUCGGUGGAUAAGAUUUGAGCGGAUGGUGGAUGGAAAAGCUGCAAACAGCAGGGGUAGUGACUAAAAUUAAAGGAAAGCCAAAAAGAGUGUGGAGAUCCCAUAUUGAUUAGAGAUUUGGCCAAUGUAGUCCUUGUAAGGCUUGACCAGUUCUCACCUUACAAACAAGCCAAAUUUUGGGUUGAGUUAGGCCCUAAGCCCAAAUUCUAAGAAGCAUAGUAUGCAAAAUGUUAAGUACUUGCUUAAAUAUUAUUAGUUUCAACUGACAAUAUUUUUUCUUUCUUCCAUGAAAACUAACAUCACAUUUUUGGAAAUAAAUAAAGAAACCUUGAAACUGAGAAAAAUUGUGCAUGAUAAUUAGUAAGCAUCCGCUCUAAUCUGUACAGUUGGGACCAAACCAACCUUUGUAGUCCCGUUUCCAGAGAGUUCAAAUUUUGCUUUCCAAGUAAACGAUGGCACUGGAAUAACAGAAAAUCCUGAGGCAACUAAGAUGCCAAUCCACAGCCCAUACCCAAAUCCUCCACUCCACCAGCCCUUGAAUGCAAAAAGAUGGAGAGACAAAAUAUUAAUAUGACAUAAAUAAAAUUAAAACACUUUUCAAAAUAUUAAUACAACAAAAUUAAAACUAUGAUCAAAAGAUCAAAAUUCAAAACUGAAAAAUAAAUCAUAGAACAAAGCAAACUACAUGCAUUUCAUUGAAGAAAAAUCACCUAACCUAAAAAGUUUAAACAUUAAAAAGUAAAAACUAUAGCCAAUUUCCGGAUCUUUCAGUCAUUAUUAGCAAGCAUAUGAACUUCACUUAAACUUGAUUAGCACAAUUCUUGUCAAACUUCAGAAGUCCCCACAAGUAAGUUAACUAGGAAAAUGCUGCUCUUCCUCCCCUGUUAAAAAUGGGUCUCUAUCAGAAAAGAAUAGACUAUUAGAUAUUAGACUACUCAUGUUAAUAAGUAGGUAGUCUAGUAGAAGCUAUUACUUGACAACAGCCAAUAUCCCAGCACUCCCAACAUACACUGAAUGUAGACACCACCCUAAUGACAACCAUCUCAUUCUAGUCCGAUUACAGUGAAGAUUUGAGCAAUUAAUUUUGCUGCUACUCAAGGAAAAUGUUUUGGUCGAGCUCGGAAGGAAAAGCAUUUUAAACUCACAGACUCUUUAGGCAGAAUUUUCUUCCCAACAGUGACUGAGAAGUUGAUUAAGAAUCAUGUCAAUUAUGUCUGUCAGAAAUCACAAAACCAUAUCAGAAAUAAUUAGAAAUACUGUUUGGGAAAAAACUGGUCUGGAGAGGUUACAGCAUAGAAAUUUCAGGAGAUGUUACAGAUAUUUACAGCAGAUUAACAGGAAAGGAAAUAAAUUCCUAAGAUUUUCUCAAUGAAAUUGCAACAUCCAAUUAAAUAGUAAUGACAGCCUAAAGACAGAGUUGUCUCUAACUCUAUACAAUUGUAACAUAUACUCCCUCUGUUCCUAUUUAUAAGACCCAAUUACUGAAUUGCCUGAUUCAUCAAGAUUAAGGAAAAUGGUUAAUUUAGUUGAUAGCAACAAAUUUGUCUUAAAUUUAUAGCUUUUUCCAAAA